Molecule: long non-coding RNA, 52368 nt
Filed under: Lathyrus oleraceus (garden pea)
Lineage: Eukaryota; Viridiplantae; Streptophyta; Magnoliopsida; Fabales; Fabaceae
Description: Pisum sativum (pea) long non-coding RNA (PSAT_LNC022461)
Source: RNAcentral
UUUUUUUUAUUUUUUUUUUGUUUUCACUUUUUCUAAAAAUAAUAAAAAUGGCAAUAUUUUUGUUUUUUGUGACUUUUUUGAACUCUUUUCUAAAAUAAGGCAUUAACAUGCAGAAGUGACCUCAUGGAAUCCACUGUGAACAAUUCUGUUAUGGCUCAGUACGAUUUUGACAAUCCCAUCCACCAAGCUGAAGAGGAGAGUGAGGAAGACUGUGAACUCCCCGCAGAAUUGGUCAGAUUGCUGAAGCAGGAGGAAAGGGUCAUCCAACCUCAUCAGGAGGAGUUGGAGAUUGUUAAUCUGGGUACUGAAACUCCCCGCAGAAUUGGUCAGAUUGCUGAAGCAGGAGGAAAGGGUCAUCCAACCUCAUCAGGAGGAGUUGGAGAUUGUUAAUCUGGGUACUGAGGACGCCAGAAGAGAGAUCAAGAUUGGGGCUGCUCUAGAGGACUCUGUCAAGAGGAGGCUGAUUGAGAUGCUGAAAGAAUAUGUGAAGAUAUUCGCCUGGUCAUAUCAAGACAUGCCUGGGUUGGAUACAGACAUUGUAGUGCAUCGGCUACCCCUUAGAGAAGAGUGUCCUUCGGUCAAGCAGAAGCUUCGCAGAACUAGUCCUGAUAUGGUUGUCAAGAUCAAGGAAGAGGUUCAGAAGCAGUGGGACGCAGGUUUUCUGGCUGUUACCAGUUAUCCACCGUGGGUAGCCAACAUUGUUCCCGUGCCGAAGAAGGAUGGCAAAGUCAGAAUGUGUGUCGACUACCGAGAUUUGAAUAGAGCGAGUCCGAAAGAUGAUUUCCCAUUACCUCACAUCGAUGUAUUGGUGGAUAAUAUGGCUCAAUCCUCAGUAUUCUCUUUCAUGGACGGUUUCUCAGGCUAUAAUCAGAUCAAGAUGGCGCCAGAGGACAUGGAAAAGACGACAUUCAUUACACCUUGGGGCACGUUCUGCUACAAAGUGAUGCCAUUUGGGCUGAAGAAUGCCGGUGCUACCUAUCAGAGGGCAAUGACGACUCUCUUUCAUGACAUGAUGCACAAAGAGAUCGAAGUGUACGUGGAUGAUAUGAUUGCGAAGUCGCAGACAGAAGAGGAGCACCUGGUUAAUUUGCAGAAGUUGUUCGACAGAUUGGUCAAGUUCAAACUGAGGCUGAAUCCGAACAAGUGUAUGUUUGGGGUGAGAUCAGGGAAGCUGUUAGGCUUCAUUGUCAGCGAAAAAGGGAUUGAGGUUGAUCCAGCUAAAGUCAAGGCUAUUCAAGAGAUGCCUGAACCGAAAACGGAAAAGCAAGUCUGUGGUUUUUUAGGGAGGUUGAACUACAUUGCAAGAUUCAUAUCUCACCUAACUGCCACGUGUGAACCAAUUUUCAAAUUGCUUAGAAAGAAUCAGGCAAUCAAGUGGAACGAUGAUUGUCAGAAAGCUUUUGACAAGAUAAAAGAGUAUUUACAGAAACCUCCAAUCCUAAUUCCUCCAGUUCCAGGGAGACCGCUGAUAAUGUACCUGUCAGUUACCGAGAACUCGAUGGGGUGUGUAUUGGGACAGCAUGACGAGUCUGGUCGAAAAGAGCAUGCCAUAUACUACCUUAGCAAAAAGUUUACCGACUGUGAAACAAGAUAUUCACUGCUCGAGAAAACUUGCUGUGCUUUGGCCUGGGCUGCUCGCCGACUGAGGCAGUAUAUGUUGAACCAUACUACCUUAUUGAUUUCUAAGAUGGAUCCAGUGAAGUACAUCUUUGAGAAGCCGGCUCUCACCGGACGUGUUGCCCGUUGGCAGAUGAUUCUAACNNNNNNNNNNNNNNNNNNNNNNNNNNNNNNNNNNNNNNNNNNNNNNNNNNNNNNNNNNNNNNNNNNNNNNNNNNNNNNNNNNNNNNNNNNNNNNNNNNNNNNNNNNNNNNNNNNNNNNNNNNNNNNNNNNNNNNNNNNNNNNNNNNNNNNNNNNNNNNNNNNNNNNNNNNNNNNNNNNNNNNNNNNNNNNNNNNNNNNNNNNNNNNNNNNNNNNNNNNNNNNNNNNNNNNNNNNNNNNNNNNNNNNNNNNNNNNNNNNNNNNNNNNNNNNNNNNNNNNNNNNNNNNNNNNNNNNNNNNNNNNNNNNNNNNNNNNNNNNNNNNNNNNNNNNNNNNNNNNNNNNNNNNNNNNNNNNNNNNNNNNNNNNNNNNNNNNNNNNNNNNNNNNNNNNNNNNNNNNNNNNNNNNNNNNNNNNNNNNNNNNNNNNNNNNNNNNNNNNNNNNNNNNNNNNNNNNNNNNNNNNNNNNNNNNNNNNNNNNNNNNNNNNNNNNNNNNNNNNNNNNNNNNNNNNNNNNNNNNNNNNNNNNNNNNNNNNNNNNNNNNNNNNNNNNNNNNNNNNNNNNNNNNNNNNNNNNNNNNNNNNNNNNNNNNNNNNNNNNNNNNNNNNNNNNNNNNNNNNNNNNNNNNNNNNNNNNNNNNNNNNNNNNNNNNNNNNNNNNNNNNNNNNNNNNNNNNNNNNNNNNNNNNNNNNNNNNNNNNNNNNNNNNNNNNNNNNNNNNNNNNNNNNNNNNNNNNNNNNNNNNNNNNNNNNNNNNNNNNNNNNNNNNNNNNNNNNNNNNNNNNNNNNNNNNNNNNNNNNNNNNNNNNNNNNNNNNNNNNNNNNNNNNNNNNNNNNNNNNNNNNNNNNNNNNNNNNNNNNNNNNNNNNNNNNNNNNNNNNNNNNNNNNNNNNNNNNNNNNNNNNNNNNNNNNNNNNNNNNNNNNNNNNNNNNNNNNNNNNNNNNNNNNNNNNNNNNNNNNNNNNNNNNNNNNNNNNNNNNNNNNNNNNNNNNNNNNNNNNNNNNNNNNNNNNNNNNNNNNNNNNNNNNNNNNNNNNNNNNNNNNNNNNNNNNNNNNNNNNNNNNNNNNNNNNNNNNNNNNNNNNNNNNNNNNNNNNNNNNNNNNNNNNNNNNNNNNNNNNNNNNNNNNNNNNNNNNNNNNNNNNNNNNNNNNNNNNNNNNNNNNNNNNNNNNNNNNNNNNNNNNNNNNNNNNNNNNNNNNNNNNNNNNNNNNNNNNNNNNNNNNNNNNNNNNNNNNNNNNNNNNNNNNNNNNNNNNNNNNNNNNNNNNNNNNNNNNNNNNNNNNNNNNNNNNNNNNNNNNNNNNNNNNNNNNNNNNNNNNNNNNNNNNNNNNNNNNNNNNNNNNNNNNNNNNNNNNNNNNNNNNNNNNNNNNNNNNNNNNNNNNNNNNNNNNNNNNNNNNNNNNNNNNNNNNNNNNNNNNNNNNNNNNNNNNNNNNNNNNNNNNNNNNNNNNNNNNNNNNNNNNNNNNNNNNNNNNNNNNNNNNNNNNNNNNNNNNNNNNNNNNNNNNNNNNNNNNNNNNNNNNNNNNNNNNNNNNNNNNNNNNNNNNNNNNNNNNNNNNNNNNNNNNNNNNNNNNNNNNNNNNNNNNNNNNNNNNNNNNNNNNNNNNNNNNNNNNNNNNNNNNNNNNNNNNNNNNNNNNNNNNNNNNNNNNNNNNNNNNNNNNNNNNNNNNNNNNNNNNNNNNNNNNNNNNNNNNNNNNNNNNNNNNNNNNNNNNNNNNNNNNNNNNNNNNNNNNNNNNNNNNNNNNNNNNNNNNNNNNNNNNNNNNNNNNNNNNNNNNNNNNNNNNNNNNNNNNNNNNNNNNNNNNNNNNNNNNNNNNNNNNNNNNNNNNNNNNNNNNNNNNNNNNNNNNNNNNNNNNNNNNNNNNNNNNNNNNNNNNNNNNNNNNNNNNNNNNNNNNNNNNNNNNNNNNNNNNNNNNNNNNNNNNNNNNNNNNNNNNNNNNNNNNNNNNNNNNNNNNNNNNNNNNNNNNNNNNNNNNNNNNNNNNNNNNNNNNNNNNNNNNNNNNNNNNNNNNNNNNNNNNNNNNNNNNNNNNNNNNNNNNNNNNNNNNNNNNNNNNNNNNNNNNNNNNNNNNNNNNNNNNNNNNNNNNNNNNNNNNNNNNNNNNNNNNNNNNNNNNNNNNNNNNNNNNNNNNNNNNNNNNNNNNNNNNNNNNNNNNNNNNNNNNNNNNNNNNNNNNNNNNNNNNNNNNNNNNNNNNNNNNNNNNNNNNNNNNNNNNNNNNNNNNNNNNNNNNNNNNNNNNNNNNUGGACAAAAAGAAUAAAAGAGUCCAGGCAAAAAAGGGCAUCCCGGCGAACAAAAAAAACAGAAAGAAAAGGUUCGGGCAAAAAUUAGGGAUAAAAAUGAAAAGAAUUUGUACACCCGGUAAGUCGAAAACCCGCAAGGGCGGCUUAGGCAAAAAUGGGUAUCCCGGUGGAUUGAAAACCCGAAAGGGCGAUCCAGCCAAAAGAGGGAUUAAAGCGAAGACUACAGUCUGAGUUAUCUGUACUUCAUCGCGCUUCGUCAGCUACCAUCUCGAAAGAUGUGAUCGGUCCAGUCAUUCUUCUCAGAAAGCAAGGGAGUUGGGAGGAAAACUGAUAAUCUAUGAGUUAUAACAGAGUUGGGAAACAGUGGAUGCCGUGUUCACAUUGCCAUUAGGAUAGUUUAUUUUCCUUUUGUGCGCAAUUACCUCUUCCUAGGAAUUGCUUCCCAAUGUAUUUGCCUUUUCAGGCACAUUUUCAAUCAAUAAAAGUCGUUAUUCAGAUAAAUUGCUCUCUUGUUUUUAUUUUUACUGUUUUGUUUGCAAAAACGUCCGAAGUUUUGAUAAACAUUGCAUAUAAAAACAUGAAGGUUAAACAAUAACGUGCAGAAAGAUCAAAACAUUUGAAAAUCAUUUUGAAUGUUGAGGACACUUGAGCGUAUCUUGUCCAUGUAUCCCCUGGGGGCAUCUGUUAUUCCGUUUUGCAAGUCGUCAACUGUGAGCAUUCUCCAGCAGUUAUUUCCCAGAAUGAAGCUUUUCUCCUAGCUAUGGAUUGGUCAGGUCGUCCCCAGCGGAGCAGUUAUUUCCCAGAGCAGAGUUCAUCCUACUUGUGGAUUGCUUAGGAUAUUCCCAGCAAAGUUGUCGGUUUGCCCAUAGCAAGUUGCUUUAUUACUCCCCAGCGAAUUGCCUUGUCUUCCCCUAGCGGAGUUGCAUUGAUGGCACCCCGGCGAGUUGCCUUGUUUUUCCCCCUAGCAGAGUUGUAUUGAUGGUUUCUCAGCACAGUCGUCCUGUGUAUUCCCCGACGGAGUUUUCAUCAUUUUGCAUCUUGCAUGUAGUGAUCAUUGCAUCCUCAAACUGCGUAGCAUUUCCAUUCCAUAUGGAGCAUUACGCCAUAGGGAAACUCAAACAUAUGCAUUCAUGUGUUAACCCAACCAGACCGCAUCCCCUGCAGAAGCGGAUCAUUUUUGUUCAACUUGUACGGCACGUCUGCUACAGUUGCUCCUGACAGUAUUCAGGAUUGAUAUUCCCAUAGAAGUUUAUGUCCUCACCCGUUGGUGACAGAAAGCCUGUUUCUCCCCAGUGAGACCCCCAGCAAGUGGUCAGCUUUGCCUUGACAUAUUUAAGAUGUCGUCUUUGUGAUACCGGUAAGUGUCAUCUCAGCACCCGCGUGUGUUCAUUUUUUUGGUGUCGGUAAACACCAUUGUUUCGGUGUCGGUAAACAUCGAGUCUCACCCCAGUCAUCGGUAAAUGUCUGGUCAUUUUUUUUGGUGUCGGUAAACACCAUUGUUUCGGUGUCGGUAAACNNNNNNNNNNNNNNNNNNNNNNNNNNNNNNNNNNNNNNNNNNNNNNNNNNNNNNNNNNNNNNNNNNNNNNNNNNNNNNNNNNNNNNNNNNNNNNNNNNNNAAUCCGGCGAAUCUUUAAGCUUCAAGCUCUUCCUCUCUUCAACCCUUGUUCUCUGGCUCUCUUUGCCCUUUUCCACUUUUCUGUCCCUUUUUCCUUUUCACGUGAAAAAAUAAACCUUUUUACUAAAUGGGACCUUUUCUAAAUUCCAACUUUUAUUCCAAUAAAAUAAUAACCCAAUAAUAAUAAUUCCAAUAAUAAUAUUCCAAUUAUUUAAUUAAAUUAAUAAAUAUAUUAUUAACUUAAAUUAAAUAAUUAUCUUAUUUUAUCGGGGUGUUACAUUCGCCAUUAGCCUCUUUUUAAAAUCCCUACGUUUUAGGCAUAUGGUGUUCGCCAUAUACCUAAUGGUGUUCGCCAUAUCAGGAAAACAAAAGGUUUUCCGUUUUUUUGUUUCCCUUCUGCGCGAAUUCCAAAAAUUCCUCAUUCAAAUCUCUUAAAUUCCUACUCUAACCACCAUUUAUUCCUAUUCCUCAUUCCCCAACCAUCCAACUUCCUUCCAAUCAUUAUAAAACAUAUUACAAUCCUCUUUCUCAUCUCAAAUCCAUAUUUCCUCAUUCUUCCUUCUUCAUAAUAUCCAUACCCCUUUCUUUCCAAAUUUCUCAUUCUCAUUCAUUCACCAUGCCUCUUAGAAUAGCAAGGCCAAGAAGAGAGAUUGAUUACAUGGGUAUCACAUUAGCAGAGGGCAUCAUAGGCGAGAAUCAAAGAAGCAGUUAUCACAAGAUCUUCAAGAGGAAUUUCUUAGGAAUAAGGUAUCCUGAUAAUGCUACUCUUCGUGAUUUAGGAUUAAUCGACAAUGUUAAUUAGAUGCUUAGCAACUUAGGUAUGUCUUACUUAUGUGCUUUAACUAGUCCUACAUACAUUAGGAUUACCUAUGAGUUUCUGAGUUCUUUUAGAUAUGCCACCCACGUAGGAGGUUUGCACACCACAAACAAUAUUUAUUUUAGAAUAUUCAAUAGAGACUACACCUUUAGCCAAGACCACAUGGCCAAUAUAUUUUCAUUCCCUCAUGGAGAUGAAUAUGCUUGCCAAGCUCCUAUAGAGAGCGAAUGAGAAGCUAGUGCUCUUGACUUUUGGAGGAAACUAACAGGCAAAACCACCUUUGACUGGGAAGGUCUUAAAGCCACUGUUAUUCAGAACCCAACCAUUAGGUACUUGCUCUACAUUCUGACCAGCACUAUCUUUGGCCGAGAAAACACUGGGAACGUAAAUUCUAGGGAUCUUUUUCUCAUUUUUAAUGCACUAUCUACGACUAAAGUUAACCCAACACCUUUCUUAUUAGAACACCUUCAGUCUACUAGUGUUAGGAUAGGAGGUCAUAUUUGUGUUGGAGGGAUGAUUACAUCCAUAACCCUUGCGUUAAACUUAAGCACGGAGUUAGCUACACUUGAUCCAUUAUAGACUCCUUUUGCAUACCUUGAUUAUUGUCGUAGCAUGCACCUUAUUAAGAAUAAACCAAACGGAAACUAUUAUCUUAUGAUUAGUAAAAAGGAGGUGAGGGGAGUUACUUUACCUUGCGCCGCAUGCAUUAACAUGUGAUUGAGCGCUAACUGGACUUUUUAUGCUAAUGCCCCUGACCCUGAUGAUACUGUCAGGCCUGAUCGCAUGGAGCAAGAUGCUCCCCAAACUGGCACCCAUGCACACACCACACAUGCUUUUCCUGACUCCUUUGCAGGUACCUUAUACGAAUAUCAGCCCCGUGAGGAGUAUGCCUACACUGCCAUGAGGACAGCUCUUGAUGACAUCCUAAGUCAGCUUAGACAUCGGAACGAUGUCGAUGGGGACUGUGGCAUGCUACUUAGGAGUAUUCAGAGGCAGCAGGAGGAGAUGAGGGUCACCAUUGAUCAGAUCAGAGAGACUCAGCUUGGCUUUGUUGAGAGGACCGAGCUUAACAUGGGUGACCUCACCGAAAAGAUAAAUGGAGUGCGCAUGGAAGUAUCAUACAUGCAGGAGUAUAUGCAACAUGUACCUCACCUUGUAUACGAUAGAGGCGGUGUUAGACGUCACAGAGGCCACGCUCGACAUCACUGAGCCGCCUACCAGGUUUUAUCUACUCCUUUUUCCGCCUUGCAUUGAAACAUAGGGGACAAUGUUUGGUUCAAGUAUGGGGGAGGAGCUUUCCCGCUUUAUUUUACUUUAUUUUAUAUAAUUUUUUACUGUUUUCUAGUUAGUUUCAUAGUUUCUUUUAAUUUAAGUUGUUUUUCUUUGCUGUUUGUGUUUGAUUGAGUCAUACAUGUCUUGUUGAGUCAUAUUACAUGAUAUUCUUUUCUCUUGUUGAUAAAAUUCCCUUAGAUUUGACCCCCAAUAAAAAAAUUGUUCUAAUUCAAUGGCAUGACACCUCGAGAGUAUAUGUUGUUUCUCAUUCUUAGGCUUUGUUAAAUGGACUUGGGAAAGUUUUAAUAAUAUCGGUACCGUCCUAACACCCUGAACUCCCUAAGUAUGCAACAUCAAUUUGAAUAACCAUUAUGCCAAGACCUUAAUUUCUAAGUUUUUAAAGUAGCCUCUUAAGUAGUUUAUUUAAGCAGUCAACACCAUCUAAAGCACACAUUAAGUAAGGAAACCGGUGCAAAUAAGUGUAUGGUCUCAGGAUAAAAGCGAAAAAAAAUAUGUGAUAAGAUAUGUCCCUUCUAAGUUAGGUGAUCCUCACCCGGUCAUUUAGCCCAACGGUACAAACUCUUAAAAAUUCAGUUGAUGCUUAAGCAAAUUUGCUAAGUAAGUGCGGAAAAAAAAUAUGAAAACGAGACCAUAGUCACUAAAAGGUUCGUCUACCAUGAAUGUGUACGGAUAACAGGCUUAAUGUGAUUGUGCUAGAAUAAAGAGAGGUGAAAAAGAACAAAGAGUGUAGGUUGAGUUAUAAUGGCAUGAUUCAGAUUGGUUUUGCAUAGGGGGAGUUUUUGUCCGUGUGAUGCGAAUAUGUGUCAUUAUGAUAUCCUUAUUGUCGAUAUAUAGUACCUAUCUAUUUAGCACUAGCCUAGAACCCUCUUACUUUUUAGAGUUUUGUCGUGCCUAUGUCUCAGACGUUGUACUUGAUUGUUUGUCAUUUGCAUUGGGUGAUUGCUUGAGGACAACCAACAAUCUAAGUAUGGGGGAGUUUGAUAACGAGAAAUUGUAUCAUGUUUUUAGGCUUAUAUCGCAUGUUAUUCAUAUUUACUUCAAUAUGUUUUAUCACCUUUUAGUUCAUUUUUAUUCAUUUUGUAGUUGUUAGCGAGUUUCGGUGCGGAUUCGAAAGCAAAUUGAAAAAGGAGCAAAAAAGCAGCAAAAGAGCAUGAUUAUGCCCAUUCUGCCUAAAUGGUGUUUGCCAUUGGCCUGCCUGCCACAUCAUUUAAUGAUCAAGGCAAUGGUGUUCGCCAUUGCCCUAAUGGCAUUCACCAUUAUCAUGCAGACAACAGUUUUGCGCAAGUGGGCAGUUUUGUGCAGUUUUCUCCAACCUAUUUUCCCUCCAUUUUGCUUGCACGAUCAAGGAAGGUUAUAAGGAUGCAAAAAUUAUAUAAAUAGGACUCUUGGAGGUGUUUCAAAGUAUCCAAGUUGUGUGGAAGCUCUGUCGAAAUUGCUUCAUAGUCUUAGGCAUAAAUUCACCUGUAAAAGUGACAAUAACUCACAUCGAAGGAUUGUCACACCUGUUUUCUUGUAAUUUUCAUUGUACUCUUGGAUCAUGAACAAGCUUGCCAGAAUUUUAAAUUCAAUUCAAGUCUCUGUUUUCUUUAAUUUCAGGUUUUUACUGCUUUAUUAUUUGUAUUUGUUAUUACCUUUACUACAUCACAUGCCAUGCCGUUUUUAAGUUUAAUCGCUUUGAUCAUGUUAUUUUUAAUUAAAAUUAUGUCUUGCUAAUUUUGUCUGAGUCUGGCGUAUGAGGAUCGUCGUUACCGACGGGACUUGGUAGAAAUAAUAGGCGCGAAAUUGUGAUUAAAUCCUGUUUUGGUUUUAGUUUCUAAUUGUAUGUUUCAUUGUUUUGACACGAGAGUGAAGAAUAAACUAAGGUUCUAGCCGAUAGCGCGGGAGUGUGAGGAAGGAACCAUAUAGUGGAAACUAGGCAUCAAACCUAAAAACAACGAGAGCUUUUUAGGCAUCAUUUAGGAUCUAAUUGGUUUACAAAAUAUGCUUUCUAAUUGAAACGGACUAGCGAGAGCAAAAUCCCGUGGUUAGGAGGUGUGGUUUUAGUCAAUAGCACGAGAGUGUGAGACAGAGUCUUUAAAUCAAUAUUUUCUACAAAACACAAUAAAAUCGUAAUUAAUACUCAAACUCUACCUAAUCCCUUAGGAACAUGAAUCCAUAUCCCGUGCUCAUUUUAUCAUCAUUUUCAAACCUUUAGAUAUUAGCGUUUAUAUAUCCGUUCAUAUCCUUUUAAACUUUAGCCUUAGCUUUGCAAUUGCAACGAUAGUUUGAUUAUAAGUCUUUGUGGGUUCGACAAUCUUUUAAAACUACCCGAUAAACUGUAUACUUGCAGUUAUUAUCCGACAGACACGUUCGUCACGAUCAAUUACCAGCAUUGAGGAUAACUUCAUGUGUGAUCCACUAACUUUAGGAGAUGCCCCUUGAGGUAUUUGCACUUAUCAGGGUGAGAGGUUGGUGUUCACCACCAAGCUUCCUUCUCAAAAGGCUAUAUUCUUCUUAUCGAUCAACCAUUAUACUUUAGCUUUGAAGGCUUUGCAGUCCUUGGUUGAAUACCCUUUUGAUCCUUCAUGAUAUCCAUAUUGCACAUCUGGAUCAUACCUAGGUGGGUAUGGUUGUGACAACGACUUCAGAGGUUUAGGAUCCACUAACGAGCUUUGAAUUAGAGGUUGCAGAAUCUGACAGUAUGACAUGGGAAUUGGAUCAAGAGAAGCAUUCCUUCUUUCCAGGUUUUUACAAGGUCUACGUUGGCUCUGAUAUCCUCGAUCUUGGGCUUGAUGAUUUAAAUAAGGAGUGAUCCAAGGUUGAUAGUAUGGUGCUCUAGGCAUUGCUGGUUGCCUAUAAGGAUAUCAUGGUGCUAGAAAUGAUGAUCGCUGAAAAGAUGAAUGACCAUAAGGUUUUUGACAAUGCACCAUGAGAAUACUUAACAUUUGUCGUGACUGCAUUGAUUACAUCAUCUUCUUCCUUUUAGGAGCUAUUGAGGGAUUCCAUAUCACUAGCUUGGCUGCUCGAGGCGUCUUGGAUUCUUCCAUUUUUUAGGUUGCUCUCGAUGCGUUUUCCAACUUUCACCAGGCUAGAGAAGCUUGAUGACACAAUGCCUACCAUUAUUUUGAAGUAUGAGUUUUGCAAGGUAUCUGUAAACAUGUCAACUAAUUCUUUCUUUUGGUUAAUGAUACUUGGUAUAUAUAGCAUGAAUUUAAGGUUUUUUAAUAUUCAACAAUGACAAAUUUACCCUUGAAUAUUUAUUUGAAAUUAAAAUAAAACUAAAACAAUUAAGUCAAAUAAAAAUGAAAUGUUUAUAAUAAAAUAACAUAAAAUGAAAAUAACUAUUUUAUUAACUAUAUUUAUUUUUUAUGAACAUGUUGACAAAAAGAUAAAAAUAUACGGACUCAAAAUAAAUAAAAGUUGAGCGUAAAAGUGCUCGUAAAGUUAAGAUGAAUGCACCAAAAUGAUUAGCGCGAAAUAAAUGACUCAGAAAUAUACAGGUAUUUAUCAAAUUUUGAAAUGGAAAACACCCGGUUAAAACACUCAGACGGAUUAAAAUAUGACGAAAAAGUGGUCGAAAAAAUAAAUCGAGCAUACCAGGUUAAACUACGUGAAACAUAGAUUAAUAAAACUGAUGUUUGCAAGUUUAGUUUUGAAAUUUUUUUGUCUGUUGUUUUGGCACACAUUUGACAAUUGAUUCAACAAGUUUUCCUGUAGAUCCAAAAUUUUAUUUCGACUAAUAUUUUAGGCACUAUGCGGUAUGGAGUGUAUGUCAUGCUAUGCAGAAAUGCAACAACUAUGAUGAAUGUAUUGAAUCACAUAUUCAAUGUCAAAAUCGGGGUGUGACAAAAGGUUAUGCAGGUUGAAAAAUGAAAAGUAAGUUUGAAUUAAAUGAGGCUUAUGGUAGUAUGUGUUAUGUUGGUGAGAGGAUAAGAUGAAGAUGAAAACGUGUAGUCUGCUUAUGAGGCUCUCGACAUGAAAAAAUGAAGUAAAAAAACAAUGGCAUCUAACCUUUUCCUUUUUUCUGUCUUUUUUGAAAAUUGAGAGAUGAUCUAUUUGAUCGAAGAGGGGCCGCAGAUCUUCUAUUGGUUUGCUGAGUGUUUUUUCUUUCUUUUGCCAUCACAUUUAGCUUUUAUAUCAUGAUAGUUUGGAGUUAUAUUUUUACAUUAGGCCAGUAAUACUUUUUUUUAUUUUAUAAUAAAAAUGAGUUAAAAAUUAAAUUGAAAUGAAAUUCACUCUUUUUUAAAUAAAACGAAUAAAAUCAAAUUGAACGCUUCACUAAUUCUAUUUAUUUUUUCUUGAUAUUUUGACUAAAACACAAAACUAAAAGGGAUUAAAAUGAAUAAAAUCAUGUGAUAAAAUGCGCGAAAAAUAUAAUGAAUGCAUUAAAAUAAUCUAAGCGAACUAAAGUUCCGUAAAACAGGCAAACAAAGAUCAAAUCUUGCAAUAAAAGUACUCGUGGGAGUUGAUAUUGAUUUUGCAUUUUCCAUUCCAAAUCUCUUUAAGAGUUGUUUGUUGUAUUUAGCUUGAUUUGUGAACGUUCCUUCUUUUAUUUAAUGCAUUUGUAGCCUAAUGAAGUAUCGAAGUUCACAAAGAUUUGUCAUUAGCACCAAAUAUAAAAUCAUCAACGUAAAUUUGAACAAGUAAAAUGUUAUGCUAAUACUUUGAUAAAAAGAAUUGUAUCAACCUCUUCUAUUUGAAAGUUUUUUUCAAGUAGAAACUUGUUGAUUAAACAAUCAUACAAAGAACGUACGCAAGGGUGGAGGGUGGGCUUAUUUUAAACCACAACGAUCUUUUUUCAACUUGAAGAGAUGAUUAGGAGAAGAUAAGUUUUUUGAGUCCAGAGGUUGAUCAACAUAUACUUCCUCUUGGAUGUAACUUCUUAGAACAUGCUCUUUACAUCUAUUUGGAAGUAUUUAAAAUUUAUGAUGCAAUAAAAAAGGAAGAAACAUUCUUAUCGCUUAUAAUCUAGCUACAAAUGUAUAUGUGUCGUCAAAAUCUACGUCUUCCUAUUGAUUGUAUCCUUUUACAACAAACCUUGAUUUGUUUUUUUUAAAUAAAGUCACUUUCAUAAAGUUUGCUGCAAAAGACCUAUUUCGUUUCAAUCACAAGAUUGGUCAUAUGUUUGGGAACAAGCUCCCAAAUAUUGUUUCUCUCAAAUUGAUUUAACGUUUCUUGUAUAAUAAGAGAUCAAUAUUCAUAAAUGAGAGAUUCAUUAACUUUAUUUGACUUUAUUUGAGUAACAAAAUCCAUAAAAUUACAUACAUGAUUUAUAGAGUGUCAAGUAGUUACCCUUUUUUAGAUGUCUGAUAAUACAUUUUGAGUUUGAGGUAACUUGUCGCUUUCCAUUCUUUACGUAGAUCUUGAUGAGUUUCUUUAUUGUAUAUUUAUAUUUAUUUGUAUAUUUUUCCGUCAUUUGUUUCUUUAUUUUUGUCUUCAUUUGGAUCUUUGUCUUUGAUUUCGUUUGUCUCUUUGUCUUCUAAGAGGUUUUUCUCUAUAAUACAUGCACAAUCAAAUACUUCUACGUCUACUACAUACUUGGAGUUAGUUUCAUUAAAUUUAACAUGUACGAAUUAUUAUAUAGCCAUUGUUAAUUUGUUAUUAAGAUGAAAAGCUUGACUAAAUGUGGAAUAGCCAAGAAAAGAUCUCAAUUGGCUUUGGAGUCAACUUUACCAAGGUUUCCCUUCCCGUUACGAAGAAAAAAACAUCUUUAAUUGAAAAUAUAAAGGUGGGAAAUAUUAGUCUUUGUUCCUUUAUAUACUUUACUAGCCAUAAUUUUUAGAAUUAACCUUAUCAAGACGUUAUUCACUACACUGAGUUGUACCAUGCAAUGAAUCCUUUGCCAUCUUUCUCGGAAAAAAUAGCUAAUUCAAGAGUUUUAUAACCUCUUGUAAGAGACAUUAUUUUAUCCAUUCAUCUAGAAUAAGGUUUUAUAUACAUGGACUUAUCCAUGUGUUUCAACUAUAUCAUAAAACAUCUCUCAAUGGUAUCAACCAUGAGGUUGGGAUCCAACGACUAUUGUAUAUUAUAUAUAGCCUUGAUCGUAGCUGGAUGACAUCAAAUAUUUUUUUUGGCAUUUUGGAACGCUUAUUAAUAUAGAACUUGAGGUGGAUUAUUAUCCCAUUGAUACAUUAUUUUGAUAAAAUAAAUUUGUAAUUCAUGUAUGUUCGUCAUUAUAACUACAAGUUAAACCCGACAAGGAUUAAGUUAGUAUACAUAGUUGAUCCACUUAGGAAUAAGCAUUCCAGCCAUAUAUAUUUGUCCAAAUUAAAGACUUUUAAAGUCACGACAUAUCAAUUUGUCUUACUACUUAAGGACAUUCCAGUCAUAUAUAUUUGUCCAAAUUAAAUAUUAACAUGAUUAAGCACAUCAUCCGCCAUUGAUUACUCAUCGGGGUUAGCCUUAAAAAGCAUUAUGCUAAGAAUUCAAAAGAAUGAAAUAUGUUUGGUGUAUAUGAUUCAAUUAAAUCUCUGAAGGCUUACUUUAACACCCCAAAUUCGAAUAAUUUAUUUAAUUGAUUUUUUAUUGCUUUAUUUAAUUAUUUGGGUAAUUUGAUAUACUUAUAAUUAUUUAUUUUGGUGAUAGUAUGUGUUAUGUGAUUUUGGGGGGUUUAUUAGAAUUUAGUGGAGCUUUAUUUGGUUAAAAUAAUAAAAUAAGAGAAAUAGUGAUAUUGGGGAAGAAGUUAUAAUUAUUAGAAAAAUAAGGGAAAAUGGUGAAAGUAGAGAUGGAUGGAAGGGUAAAAGUGUGAAAAGAGAGUUAAUUAUAUUUUAGGUUAAAACAAAUAGAAUAUGUGAGGGAAACCAAAGUUACUGAUACGUAGAAGUUGUCCAAAUUAAAAAGAGAGGCAAGUGUGAGAAAAUGAGAACAAGGACUUGAGGGAGAAGAAGAACACCAUAACCAAACUUAAUUAGCUGCUGAAGAUUCAAGUAAUGAGGGAAACUACUCUAAUAUAUGUGUUAUUGCAUGAAAGGUGUAACACCCUAAAUACUGAAACUUAUAUAAAAAGAUUUAAUUGAUAAUUUAAGAUGUCAAUACGAUAACCAUCCAAAAACUUUCAAAAACAUUUGCAACAUCCAGCGAAGUUAAUAUAAUAAAAACUUAAAAAUCAAAUUUCACAAAUAAAAUAUCAGACUUUAAACCACAUAAUUCAACAUUAACUCAAAAUAUGAUAAAAAUGCAUUGUUCACGAUGUUACAUAUCAGAGCAUUUAACCGACUAAAAAUGAUGAAACAGUAAAUAAAACAAAGAUUAGCUUCAACAAGGCAUCUUCCACACACAACAACAACUUUACUAUUGACUAUCUGCAAGAUUUCCAUGGUGGACAACAUUAAGUAAAAGGGGUGAGAAAUAAAUAUUGAUAUGAAUAGUGUAAAGAAUGCAAAGGUAGAAAAAUGUAUAUCAUAUCAUACAUUCAAUGCACAACCAACAUCACCGUAAUCUCACACAUGUUCACAAUAAUAUGCAAAUAUAUGUAAUGCAACUCACGGUACAACGUGAUACUAUGCAUAUGGUACCAACUUAACAUUUGUUUCUCUCAAAGAACCCCCCCCCCUUCUGAAUCCAUGAGCCCCCCCUUCUGAGCUCAAAACCCCCAUUAUGAGCUUGGGACAAGCCACUAGUCCCCACUAGGGGUGUUCAAAACCAAACCAACCCAAUAGAAAACCGCAAACCAAACCAAAACCGCAAAAAACCGCAUUUGGCUCGGAUGCGUUUGGGUCAUUCUCUAACAAAACCGCACGGUUUGGUUUGGUUUGCGGUUUGUAUUUUUCAAACCGAACUAAACCAAACCAAACCGCAUUAUGUUACAACUCAAAAUUCAAUUAUCCCACAUCCAAUCCAAAACUCAAACUUAGUAUGCCUUAACCUUAUAAUUAAAAACGAUUUUCUCUUACUCACACUUAGGAUUUCAAUUUCAACCUUCUUAAAUCUCUCCCAGUAGUAUCGCACAUUCUUCUCAUCUUCUUUACCAUGUACGUUUCGCUUUUUCUACUCUAAUAUUUCAUCUCUUAUGUUCUUUCUUUUUUAUCUUUUAUGUUACUAUUUUCUCUUNNNNNNNNNNNNNNNNNNNNNNNNNNNNNNNNNNNNNNNNNNNNNNNNNNNNNNNNNNNNNNNNNNNNNNNNNNNNNNNNNNNNNNNNNNNNNNNNNNNNNNNNNNNNNNNNNNNNNNNNNNNNNNNNNNNNNNNNNNNNNNNNNNNNNNNNNNNNNNNNNNNNNNNNNNNNNNNNNNNUCAAAACCAAACCAACCCAAUAGAAAACCGCAAACCAAACCAAACCAAACCAAAACCGCAAAAAACCGCAUUUGGCUCGGAUGCGUUUGGGUCAUUCUCUAACAAAACCGCACGGUUUGGUUUGGUUUGCGGUUUGUAUUUUUCAAACCGAACUAAACCAAACCAAACCGCAUUAUGUUACAACUCAAAAUUCAAUUAUCCCACAUCCAAUCCAAAACUCAAACUUAGUAUGCCUUAACCUUAUAAUUAAAAACGAUUUUCUCUUACUCACACUUAGGGUUUCAAUUUCAACCUUCUUAAAUCUCUCCUAGUAGUGUCGAACAUUCUUCUCAUCUUACUUACCAUAUAUGUUUCGCCUUUUCUACUAUAAUAUUUCCUCUCUUAUGUUCUUUCUUUUUUAUCUUUUAUGUUACUAUUUUCUCUUCCAAUUACAUUUUUAUCGCACAUUUUUUCUCAAUCCCGCAUCUCUUAUGUUCUUUUUUUCAUCUUCUCUAAUCUCUCCUCUCAUAUGUUUUUUAUGUUUUAUUAUAAUGUCUUUGAUAUUAUUUUAUUUUACUAUUAUAUAUAUGUUUUUUAUUCCAUUUUUGUCUAAUCUAAUUUUGUGUAUAUUUAAUGUGAAGUUUUUGUCUACAUAUGAUAAGUUUUGAUGUUAUUUAGUAAUGUAUGAAUGACUAAAUACAAAAUUAUGUUGUUCUCUAUAGGUGUAUGUAUGGCUCAAUAGAAAUAUUAUAAAAAACCGAAUCAACCGAACCAAUCCAAACCGCAUUGGUUUGGUUUGGUUUGGUUUGGUUUUAUUUCUAAAAGUCAACCGAACCAAACCGAACCGCAUGCUUUUUUCUCUUGCGAUUCGGAUGAUUUUUAUCGUCAAAACCGCCCAAACCGCACCGCGAACACCCCUAGUCCCCACUCUGAACUAGUGAACAUGUCUCUUUCAACAACACGACACAAUGAUGCAUGUUCAUACAAAUCAAAACAACAAUAAUAAUAAUGCUUACGGACCCCCCUUCUGACCAUAAACAACAUGCAUUGACUCACAAUAGUAAUCUCCCUUCUGAAUUUCUAUCCACCAAUAAUAUCAACAAUGCUCACCAUCAAUACAUAAUUAAUCAUCAUAUAACCAUGCAUUUCAUAACAAUAUGAGUCAUAUUCAUAUCAUAUAACAUCAUCAAGCAAUAUAAACACAUCUAAUACACGUCCACACAACACUUAACCAUGUUAAAUCAUCUUAACAUGAAUUCAUCAUUAAUUCAUUCGUUUGCAUCAAUUAAUCAUUUGCUCACUGUCGUUUACUAUUGUGUAACAAGUAAAACUAUUAAUUUUCACAAUUUACAACACCCAUCUAGCCUCUUAAUACAUCAUUAUGGGAUAGUCAUAUGUGUUACCUUUCCAACGCUUCAAACUGCAUCUUAUUUGGAUUUGCGGAACUAAAGUUAUGACAAAAACAGUCAAAUAAAAUAAUAGGUUUCAAUUUAGAAAAUUUUCAAAAUCCAACUAGCAUCAAUCGAUUGACAUCUGUGUGCAAUCAAUUGACAUUAGUCCUCAUUAAAUUUUGCCUUUCCAAUUUUUCAUGUUUUGGCUAAGACUAAUAGAUUGAUUCAAGUAAUUAAUCGAUUGACAUGGUUUAAUUUUUCAGGUAUUUCUAAUUUUUCAUGCGUGCAAUUGAUUGACACAGGAUGUCAAUUGAUUGACAUCACCCCAAAUUCGAAAAAUCCAAGUUUUUCACAAGUUAACUUCAUCUUCCUUAUUCCCUAUCCCUCGUACAUCACCCAAUUCUCAUUAUAACAUCCAAACACAUCAUAUCAUAAAUUUAACAACAUAUAAGAAUCUCAUCACGAUUAAGCAUGAUAUAGUGCACAAAUUAAACCAUGAGUCAUAACAAUUAGACAUACAAUUUAUUCAUCACUUUCAUUAAAGUCAUGUUUAUGUUCAAAGCUUCAAGAUUCCAACAAUGACAUAGAAUCACAUACUCAUAAAUAGGACAAUACACACACAAAUUUAGUCAUGGAAAUUUGAUAUUCACACUUUCAAUCAUCAAAUUUUCAAAUCAACACAUAACAACAACGAUUCGUAAAAAGUUUCACACAAUCCCUAAAGAGAGUAAGGGUCUCUCUUCUCUAUCUUUUUAUUUCAGACACCCAUAUAGAAGUCGUGAGUCAUAACAAUUAGACAUAUAAUUUAUUCAUCAUUUUCACUAAAGUCAUGUUUAUGUUCAAAGCUUUAAGAUUCCAACAAUGAUAUAGAAUCAUAUACUCAUAAAUAGAACAAUACACACACGAAUUUAGUCACGGAAAUUUGAUAAUCACACUUUCAAUCAUCAAAUUUGCAUAUCAACACAUAUCAACAACGACUCGUAAAAAGUUUCACACAAUCCAUAAAGAGAGUAAGGGUCUCUCUUCUCUACCUUUUUAUUUCAGACACCCAUAUAAAAGCCGUUUCUCUCCCCUUACCUCAGGUUUCUAGCUAAAAUUCAGAAUUGAUGAAGGUUGAUGGUUUGUGUUCUUCCCUUUUUAAGCCCUAGCCUCUUUUUUCUCCAAAAUCUCUCACUUUAGGUAUUAUUUUCCUUAAGGAUCCCCUAAUCCCUUUUAUCUCUAAAAACCUAAUUUCAUCUCUUAAUAAUUACACUAAGGCCUAACUCUUCUUAUUUUUCUUAUCACUUCCAUUAUUUCUCCUUAGUUCCUAUUUCCACCCAAAACCUCUAUUUUAAUUUUAAUUUUAACUAAUUAAAAAUAAUUAUUAAUUCUAAUUAUUUUAAUUGUUCUAUCCAUCCACCAAAACUCUCAUUAUAUCCCACCAUGCACCAUAUACACAUAUAACUCACAAUAUAUUUAACUAAAAUUAUACCACAUACUAAAUAAUAAAAUAAAAACACAAUUUAUUUGAUUAAAUAAAUUAAUCAAAUUUUGGGGUGUUACAAAGGGUAAAGAGGGAUUUUCACCUUCUUCUAGGUUUUUCUCCAUUGAUGUGUUUGAUGAGUUUUAGAAUAUAAUCAUGUAAAAUUUAUGAUAAUCAAUGUAUGUGAUAUGAAAUUUGUGUCAUGUGUGUUGCGUAAUUUUAUGUUUGAUGAAUGGAUAUGAAUAUGAAUGUUAUGAUCACCAUUGUUGUGUAUUUGGUUUUAUGAAUAAAGUAUUGAAUUCAUGAUUAAUUGAUGAAUUUGGAUGUUAAUUAAUGUAUAUAUGAUGGGUUGGUUGUUGUAUAAUAUGUGUCUAUUAUUUUCUGUGUGAUUUGGUAUUCUACGGGUCUAAAUCGGAUCUUCGAACGAGCUUUGCUAGUGAAAAACGCAAAUUCUAUUUUCUAAAACAACGUGACGAUAUGACAAUCAUGCAUUUGAGGCAGCUGACUGUCGUCAACAUGAUGACGGGGAGACCGUCAUGGUCUUCAGGCGAGAUUUCUCCCGUCGAUCGUCAUAGGGUGACGGGUUUAUGAGAGAAUGGAGUUGCGGGCUAGGUGACGGUCGUCACUCAGGUGACGAGCUGGUCGUCACGACCGUCAAGGACCAUUUUUGGGCAUUUGAUCCGGAUUUCGAUGUUGUUUUCUUUUGUGGUUGAUGGUUGACUGUUGUUUUUUAUGUAUUUGAUGAAAUUAAUUAAUUAAUUAAGGUGUAUUAUUUUGAUAAUGAAAUGAUUGAAUUAACUUGCAUGAUUAUAAGUGGUGAGUUAUGAUUAUAUUUAUGAGUUGUGAUGCUGCUAAUAUAACUAUGUGUUAUGAAUGUAAUUGUAAUUGCUUGUGUUAAGGUGCGUAGUUCAGAAGUGGGGACUAGUAUGGAUGAUGUAUUGCAUGUUGUUUAUGGUUAGAAGUGAAACCAUAAGCGUUGUUGUUGUUGCGUUACUUUGUAUGUCAUUAAUCAUUUUGUGUCAAUGUGUUGAAAGAGGCGAAUCACGGGUUCAGAAGUGGGGACCAGUGACUAGUCCGGAGUUCAGAAGUGGGAAUCUGGUUCGAAUGAAGAACCAUUGUUAAGUGAACGAGAUUAGUAAGAAACCUCUGAUGUUCAAAUUGGUACCACAUGCAUUGAUUCAAAUUAUGAGAUAUAUUGCAUACAUAAAGGCUAUGUGAGUUGAUUGUUGUGUUGUUGCGUAAAUUGAAUGUGUGUUGUUGUUUGCGUGAUUUAAGCUAGCCUUGCAUUCUUUUACAUUGUUAAUAUAUUUGAGCAUAUUCUCACCCCUUUGUUAUUUGUUUUGUGUUGUUUUGUACAUUGUGGUACAAAUACUCAGGAGGAGUAAGUGUUAUUGUGAGUUGGAAGAAGACUAUGAAGCUCUCUUCAUUUUCUUUAUUAUUUUAUCGUUGUUUAUUUUGAACUAUUACUCUUAUUUGUAAAAUCAUGGAACAUGUCGCUUAAACUAUUGAGUUAAUGUUUGAAUUUAUUCAAUUUCAUUAGUACUUCAUUUGAGGAGAUAAUGGAAGUUUACGUUAUUUAUCUUGAGUUCCGCUACGAGUUUUGAAAUAUUUGAAAAACAUGCAUGUUAUGUUUGAGUAGUAUCCUAAAAUGAUGGUUUUAUUCCUUUAAAUUGAGAGUCGAAUUUUAAUGUGUUAUAUUUAGGUUCUGUUUGGUUGAGGAUAAAUGGAAAGGAAGGGAGAAAAUAUUUAAUGACUUAUGUGUUUGGUUCAGAUUUUAAGAGAGGGAGGGGUGGUAGAUAGAGGAAAUCAAAAUCCCUCCUGAGUCACUUUCCCCUCGUUUUGGGGGAUUUGGAGGGGACGAAAGGUAUUUCAUUUUAAUUAUAAUUAUAUUUACCAAUUUACCCUUAUUUAUUUAAAUAUAAAUUUAACUUAUUAAAAUGUUAAAAGUUUUAUUUUGAAUAAAUUUUAUCUUCCUUUUAUAUUUCUUGUAUUUUUAUAUCUUUAUCUUAUUAUCAUUAUAUGUGUUUAAUUUUUUUUUUACUUUUUAUAUUUUAAUGUUACUUUUUAAUUAUCGUAUAUUUUUGUUUAUAAUAUUUUUUGUUAGAUUUCAUUGUAUUUGAUAAUCUUUUUAAAAUCAUAUAUUAUAAUCAUUACAUUUUUAUAAAAUCUUUCAUGAUGUUCUCGGAUUAAAUACUUAUAAUUCGUCGACGAAUUUGUAUUUGAAUUAUAAACAGUAAAUCUCAGGAGUGUUAUGGUAAAAUUAGAAGGAUAAAAAAAAAUAAAAAUAAAAAUACCUUUCCUCCCCUUGUGAACUAAACAUAUUUAUAAAUAAAAUAUCUUCUCUCUUCCCCCUUUCAUAUUUUGAACCAAACAUGUACGAAAUUAAAAUAUCUUCUCUCUCUUUCCCUCACCUCCCCUCUCCCCUUCCUUCGAUUGAACCAAACAAACACUUAUUGUAGCAAUAAUCAUUUGACUUUGAAUUGCAAUAUCUGUCUUAACUCUAGUUCUCUUAAAUUCUUUAAACGAUGAAGAGAACAAUAAUGUCACCAAAUUAACUCAUUUGACCAUAAACUUCAUUCUAUACCAUAGACUUAACGAUACAAUUAAAUUAUUGAAAAACCUAAUACACGAUAUCAUGAUCUCCAUAUCAAUUUAUAUAUAGUUUUUAUUUAACAACUUAAAUACUUUUCCGUUUAAACAAUAUAUAUGGUCGUUUGUUUUGGCUUUUUUUUAAAAUGAUUUUUAUAGUGUAACAUAUUUUGAUGUAAAAAAAAUUUACAAAUGAUUUUUUUAUAAAAACUUCAAAUUAUAACUUGAUUUGAAUAGUUAUUUUAGGUAUUUCAUCAUUUUAUCAAAAAAAAAUUGGAUAUCAAAUUUUUUAAAAAUCACUUAAUUUUAAAACUAUUUCAAAUAAUUUUUUCUAAAAAACAUUUUUGAAAUAGAACUUUUUGAAAAAACUGUGAUUUUGACUAUACUUUGAUCUUCAAUAACGUGGUUUAUGUUAUAGUAUAUCAAAACUAAUCAUUUAAUUUAUAAAAAAACAAAUUAAAAGAAACUUAUAAUAUUUUAGAAAACAUUUUUCUAAAAUUCAUUUUCAAAAAUAUAAAAAAAAAUCAUUUUCUUAAAGCUAAAACAAAUUAACCAUAAUCAAACUAUCAAAUAAUAAAAAAUAAUAAGCAUGUUACCAUAAUUUUUGUCGUUUUUAGUUAAGAACUUAAUUAUUUUUACAUGUAAAUAAUAUAUAAUCAAAUUAUCAAAUAUAUAUUAUCAAUAAAGUAAUCAAGCAUUUGACCAUUAUUUUUAUGUAAAUAUUGGUGGAUGUAUCAUCAUAUCAUAAUCAUAUUCAUAAUAUACUAAAAAGAAGAAGAAAAUUUGAGUCACAUGUUUGUUUAUUAUUGCUGUAUUCCUAAACAAAGAAUUUAUCAUUUACUACACUUUUAUUUGUUUGUUUUCCCGGUAACAACAUCAACGAAGGACCAAUCCCACUCAAAAACCCUAAUUUUCCCAUUUACAGUACCAUACACUGAUUUCAAGGUUUUCGUUUCCCUCUGCCUCACUCUAACGUAUCUCAUCCGCGACCGUUAUAGAUCAAAUAGAUCAAUCAUAGUUAAAAUUUUCAUUUUUUGCUUUUGCGUUUUCAGUGUAUCGACAAUAGUAGUAGUUCGAAGAGUUUGGGCUCACUCCUUCGACUUCAAUGGCGGAGGACCACAAAGAUGCGAGUGAUUACAGUUCGGAGGAUGAAGGAACUGAAGAUUACAGACGUGGUGGAUAUCACGCGGUUCAGAUUGGCGAUACUUUCAAAAAUGGGUGCUAUGUGGUUCAGAGCAAGCUUGGUUGGGGGCAUUUUUCCACUGUUUGGCUCGCUUGGGAUACUCACAAAUUGGUUUGUACCCUUUUCAUUCUCUUUGUUUCCUUGGAUUAAAAUUUUAAGCUUUUGGUUUUUUAUGAUUGAUAAUUGAGUUUAGUGUUUUUGGAUUAUGAAGGGGUGUCAAUGUUUCUGUGAUGGAGAACUUUGACUAAAAUGUAUGCUUUGUUUUCUGUUUUCUAUGGGUUUCUUUUCAAUAUUAAAAAUCAUCUAUUUGUAACUGAAAUUUAUCAUUCUUAAUUCUCAACUAAUACAUAGAUUAGGAAAUUUUGCUGCUUGAUCUUCUGUAAUAUUCUACUCUAGCUAUUACCAUUGGGUUCUAGCGCAAGUGGUUGGCAAAACUCUGAGUGUUGUAAACCCUAGGGUGCUGAGUUUUAUUCUCUCAAUAUGUAUGUGUGUUGUGUGUUCAAUUCAGUAAAUAAAGUUGAUUUUGUAAUUAGUUAUUCAUGCUUCUAUUGCAUUGAUUCUCUUUAUAAUUUGUUAAGUUGUUGUUCAUAUCAAGUUUGUGUCAUUUGAGUUCUUUUCAUUCGACCGCUUUGUGAAUAUGUUUGUUGAAGCCCUAGACAACACACAUGCUAUGGUGUUUGUUUAUAUAUUAACAAUGAGGGCAUUAUUUAUUAUGUAGCGAUAUGUUGCCUUAAAAAUUCAAAAGAGUGCUCAACACUACACUGAAGCGGCAAUGGAUGAAAUAAAGAUUCUCAAACAAAUUGCUGAAGGGGAUGUAGAGGAUAAGAAAUGUGUUGUGAAGCUUUUGGACCACUUUAAGCAUUCAGGGCCUAAUGGCCAGCAUGUUUGUAUGGUUUUUGAAUUCCUUGGUGAUAAUCUUCUCACACUUAUCAAGUAUAGUGAUUAUCGAGGUGUUCCCCUUCCCAUGGUUAAACAAAUUUGUUAUCAUGUUUUGGUUGGUUUGGAUUAUUUGCAUCGUGAGCUCUCUAUAAUACACACUGAUUUGAAGCCCGAGAAUGUCUUGAUUCUCUCUCCAAUAGAUCCAUCUAAGGAUCCUAGAAAAUCUGGAGUCCCACUUAUCCUUCCAAAAACCAAAGACAGGACUGUGUCCAAGCAUGGGACGACAAAUGAUAAAAGUUCGAAUGGAGAUCUAACCAAGAAUCAGAAAAAGAAAAUGCGCAAAAAGGCUAAAAAAGCAGCUCAGAAGGAAGGUCCCGAGGUAGCAGAGGAGGAUUCUGAAGCACCUGAGCAAGAUAGGUGUAGUAAUGAUGUGAAAUCAAAUGUCGAAAACGGCGAAGGUAAACCUAAUAGUCCUGCAAGUUUAGAUGAAUCCGCAAAGACUUCUGAAAUUCAGGAUGUUCCACAAGGAAGUCAAGUUUCUAGGAGAGGUAGCCGCUCUACCAGAAAAAAGUUGCUUGCUGCUGUUGAUCUCAAGUGCAAGCUGGUGGAUUUCGGUAAUGCUUGUUGGACGUAUAAACAAUUUACGAAUGAUAUUCAGACAAGGCAGUAUAGAUGUCCUGAGGUUCUUCUUGGUUCCAAAUACUCGACUCCAGCUGAUAUGUGGUCCUUUGCUUGCAUUUGCUUUGAGCUUGCCACCGGUGAUGUUCUUUUCGAUCCUCACAGUGGUGAUAACUAUGACAGGGAUGAGGUAACCUGUUUUGAAUUUCAAAAGAAUAUGUUGGCUUUACUUCCUCUAUACUUUUUUCUUUGUAUAUAUAUAUUCUGUCUUAGGAAUUUGAAAUCCAUGUGAAAAAUAACAUUUUGAGGAAAUAAUUUGUCGAAAUGCUGCUUCUACUUUUGUGAUUCAAAAGUGUGUUCAAGUUGGUAAAAUUGAAAAGUUCUGUGACCAAAAUAGUCUAUUUGAAAAAUGAAUUUUAUUCCAACUAAGGAUUUUUAUGGUAUUUAUGCUCGAUUGCAUUCAGAAAGUUGAAGUAUUGGUAGAACUUUUGAUAUGCGAUCAUGCUACUAGAUCACUCAGAAGGCAUUUCUUCAAAGAAAUGAACUCGUGUCUAUACUCUAGCAUUACAAAAUUAUUUUGGUCUAAAGAUGUUCCACUGUUUUCAAAUUUUAAUAUAUUUGUUGUUUAUUUUGUUGAUGUUUUUAGAAUUGAAGCUUCACUUGUUUAAAUUUGCCGUAAUUUUUAUUGGGCGUACUAAAACCAUACAUUUUCCUUAGAAAUAAUGCACACCGACAAGUUUAUUUUUUAUACCCAUUGAAAAUCUGUCGAUUCUUAUUCUCUUGGAAAAAAUGUACAAAAACCUGAAAUACUGCUGUGGACUGUGGUUAUUUGGACUUCAACUUUAAUUGAUGAUUUAGUUUGAUGAGAUUUCUAAAUUUACUCUUCAGGACCAUCUGGCAUUGAUGAUGGAGCUUCUUGGAAUGAUGCCUCGCAAGGUAGGCAUGUUAGGUGUUAUGCUGCAAAAUGUCCAAGUUGUUAUAUCAUCAAUUUGCAUCUUGAUAUCUUGAUAUGCACAAGGAGAAAAAUAUUGCGCACUAUAGAGGCUUCAUUAUCCUGCAUUCUAUUCAUUCACUUCAUUAUAGCCACCAUCCAUAGUCCCUAUUGAAUAUACUCUUUUUCUGUCUAUGAUUCUCAAUUUUGAAUUUAUUAGUAAUUUAGUAUCAACAUUUUAUUUGUUCCCAUCCUCACAAGUUGAGCAAUUACUUUGUCUAGAUUGCACUUAGCGGCCGCUAUUCCAGAGACUUUUUCAACAGAUAUGGCGAUUUGAGACACAUUCGUCGGUUGCGGUUCUGGCCUAUCACUAAGGUGUUGACAGAGAAAUAUGAUUUCAGUGAGCAAGAUGCAAGUGACAUGGCUGACUUCCUAGUUCCGUUACUCGACUUUGUUCCUGAAAAGAGGCCAACGGCUGCUCAGUGCCUCAAUCAUCCAUGGAUGAGUGCAGGUCCUCGGACUCUUGAGCCAUCUUUGACUAAUGUGCAACCUGAUGCUAUUAACGGAGAAAAGUCUCUAAAGUCUAGGGAAAAGACCGAGCAUGAGGCUGUUGAAGUUGGUAUGGGGAAUAUGGCGAUUGAUGGAACUCAAAAGUCACUCAAAGAUUUUCAGCCCACAAAGUCAUUGGAGUAGAGACAAGUUGGCUUAUGUUGGUGGUUUAUGCAACAUGUUGCUUUUAUAUGGUAAGUUUUGGUGGUCCUUGGAGCAUGAUAUUCUAUUUAACUGUUAUUUUAUAAGUACUAUGUGCAAAUGAGUCAUACUUAAGAGGUUGUGAUUUGUGAAACCCUUCAUAGGGUAGGGCAAAGGAAGCUGAAUGGAUGCCUGUUAGAAUGGGGUUUAACCACUUCUUUCACCUCUUACAAAAGUGUGUAGAAGAUAGCUUCCUUCACAUUCAAUAGAGAGCACAUCAUCAUCCCGAGAAUAUUUUAAUUUUUUGGAGAGUUUGUUUGAUAUUUAUCUCUAGAUUAGGUGUUCAUCUUCCAAAAUGUUAUAUUUUAGGAAUUUGAACUGUACAUUUGAAUGAGUUCUUUUUUUGUAUCUAUAUCAGAUUUUGUUGCUAUAGACAUUACUGGGACAUGUUUCUUAAUUUUUAACAUUUUUAAUAAUUUUACUUUUGGGGAUUUUUUACUUAAAACUUAUCUUUGGAUUCAUUAUUCACGUUAUUUUCUACAAUCAUAAUUACUAGGUUUGUUUCACGAACAAUAGGGGAUGUUUUGAGUGAAUUUCAAACAAAUUGAGUGAAUAUAUCUAUGAAAAAAGUGUUAAAAUUACACUCUAUAUUUUUUAUACUUUAGUCAAUUUGUUUAUAAAUAGAAAAAUGAAUUUGUAAACAAAUGCUUUUCCAACUUUCUUGAAUCUCAAUUUAGUUGCUCAAUCAAAAGAUUGGGGUUACUAAGGUAAAAAAAAAACUCGAGUUUCUUGCGUCAAAAGUGGGUUAGGCAUACUCCAUUUUAUGGGUUGUAAAGCUUCUAGUUGACAACUAUGUUUUGAAAAAAAAUCUGCCUAUCAACCUCCCCUACAGAUAGAAUUCGAAUUGGCUUGAUAAAAUUAGACAUUUUAAUUUUAUGAGAAUAUGUAAGGAGUUAUUAGUUUAAUAUAUUUUUGCAUUUUUUUAAUUUUAUAAUUACAAAAUAAUUACAAGAAAAAUAGACUUUAUAAGUUUUAUGCUAACAUAUAAAUAGUUAUUAGGUUAAUAUAUUUUUUUGCGUUAUUCAGAAUUCCCGUGAUCUUAAGUAGAGAUUGUAUGUGAUUUUGACUUUGGAAAAGGGAAGUUAAAUUUUAGAAGAAGCCAUAGAAAUAUGAAUGAUAUGACAAAAAUGAUUAUAUGAAUAUAUUGGGAGUCUGUUUAAUAUAUAUAAUAGAUUUGACAAUUAUGUAAUUACAUGUCUGUCUCUGAAGAUAGUGUGACAUAUGACUAAUGUUUUAAUGCACUUGCACACAACACCCAAACAACAGCAGUGAAGAGUCUUUUGAUGGCUCACAUAGCUUAUUGUGAACUUGUGAAGCAGUGAAAAUUUGUAUGUAUAUCCCCCUCUGGAAUAGGAAUAAAAACUAAUGCAUGCUACAGCAUCAAUAAUGUGAGUAAUAUCAUGCAUACUUCCAAAUCCAUUUCGGAUGAUUGAUGAUCUUCAUGCACAAUCCCUGCAUUUAUGCGUGCUUACUUUCCUUUGCAUUUUAAAAUAAAACCUGAAAAAUGAAUCAGAAUCCCUUCAGGUUUGUACCACUUAAUGCAUAUUAUGGCUAUAUUGAUAUUGAUGACUAAACCUCAGAAGUAGAGGUCAAAAUAAGUUCGGCUGGGCCGAGCUUUCUAAAGCCCGAACAUUUUUCCAAACUUAAAACUUGAAUUAGAGUUCUACUUUGUAAUAAGAUCUUUAAAUAAGUCAUUCGAUGAUUGCUAAAAAGCUUUAAAACUCAGUAUGCAGUUAACAAUUUUUGUACACAUCUAAUCAUGCAUCGGCAUCGAAAAGAAAUUUUUCUCUAAAAAUUGUAAACAAAUCUUGAACACGUCCAUUCAUAUUUCAUCAACCUGUCAUAGUAUAAGUAAGUUUUUAAAAGUAAUGUUAUGAUGUGUUAAGAUAAAAUAUGUUUGGCUAUGUUAACCUUGCUUAUAAAUGUAUAGUAGUUAAAAUUUUAAAUUAUUUACAUUUAUCUAAAUAGGUAACAGAUUUAAAAGACUUUUAGGAUACCUUUAGUUUAGUCUUUUUAGCUAAAUAGAUUUUUAAAAAAGUCUUGGCCUAAUUUAUUUUGUAAGUAGGUUAGAUCAUUAGUCCUCAAACAGAGUUCAAAAUACUUUACAUAUCUUGGAUUAAAGAUGUUUUAUUAGUAGAUAUCAUGAUAAUACAUGUACUCAAGAUCUACGAAGAUAAAAAAAAAUUAGAGCAUUUUUGCGGGAGGAAACAGCUGAGAAGUAACAAAAUUACCUAUAUUUGAAGUUUCACUCGAUCAAAAUAUUUUUCUUGCUCUGAGGUAAUUAUACAUAAGAAAGAAAACAAUAAUGCCACCAACAAUGAUCCCAGAUGUAGUUAGCCAAAAUGCAAACUGCAUUCCAUCCACAAAUAUAGUUAAUUAAAAAGACUGAUUGCCAAUAACUUCCAAAAAGAACAAAGUAAGUCAUACGUGGAAUAAGAUUUUAGACAGCAACUCACCACACGUUCCUCAAGAUAGGACUUCAGGUUCAUGCCAAAUAUACCUGAAACCAUGAAUAUAUCUUGAUAUAAAAUCAAGUAAUGUAGAUAAUACUCUCAAAUAAUAAAACAGACAGACUCGUGUAUUUCACAUAAUUAUAAAUGGGUAUAGCCAAAGUUCUUAUUUAAACUGCAUAUUCCUGUCGAGAUCAAAUUGGCAACUCCAGAUUCUAAAUCUUGAAAGUGCUUCACCGAGAAGUAUAUUUAAGCAUAAUUCUGCCAUAAUGGUUGUAGUAGCAAAUUUGCACAACAAACGAUCAUGUACCAAGAUGAUUAAAUCAUGCAAUGUAUGCUAGUAAUAUCUGGAAAAACUUCAGAACUACAUGAUCAAAAAAUUAUUAGAUUUUAAGAAGAGCAGUUCCGGCUGUUUCUUAUGCAAACCUAAACCACCAACAAAAGUUAUAAUUAGCCAAGUUUUAGUCCACUUCAAUUCCUGGUACGUGGAACUGAUUUAUUACCUGAGAAUAUUAUCUACAUUAAAUGCUUAAUGUAGACUAGAGUGUGAACAUUUAAAUUAAGUUUGGUUAAAACUAUGGGUGGGUUUAUACAACCAACUGCACAUACUGUCAAAGAACCACCUAAAACAUGUACCUGCCACAAGGGCGCCAACUGCCACACAGAAUGUUCCAACCUGGAGAAGCAGUUCCACUCUACUAACUUCAAGUCUUCGUGAGCUGUUGAAUGAACGAAAGUUAUUAGAGCAAAUAAGGUUAAUGAAGACAGAGAGUUAUGGACAUUGACAAAUUUCUCUCUUGCAUUGAGGUUAAAAAGCUAAGCUAAUCUAUGGUGUCUGAUGUUUUUAAUUAUCCCAUGUAACAAUGUUGAACAAAGGACGUAAGACACUUAGAUGAUUCUUUUAAUUUCAAGAGUGACAUAUAUUUCAUGCAUUCUUAGUUGUGAUUGAUGUCCUUGAAUGCAAUAUCAUUUCAUCCAUUCUUAAUUGUGAUUGAAGUACUUGAAAGCAAUAAUAUUUCAGACAUUCUUAAUUGUGAUUCUUCAAUGCAAGGUUAAAUGCUUAAUUUGACUUCACAAUGGAACCAAGGAUGUCAGUCCAAACACAAUCCCACAGUUAGCAGAAUGCAGCUUUUGGAGAUCACUUAACUUCCUAACAUCCACAAUCACUUGAUACAACUCUAAACCCGCCUUGGUGGAAGAGAGAAAAAAAGAAAUUCAAACCUCAAACUGACACCUAUAGAAUCCUCCAUUUCCCUUGCAGAAUCAAGAAGCCUUUCAGAUUGACCAUGACAAGAUUCACAUCUGCAAGUGCAUUUAUACAUAGAAGUCAACUUUGAGACGAAAUAUCAUCAAAAAUGUUAAAGUUAUUAAAAAAGAAAAAGUAAUUAGCCUUUGUCAGAAUCAUCAACUAAUUGUCGAGUUUGAAACUUUAAGAGACUUGUUUCAUAAUGCAGAUUCCUUUCAGAAAUUGCAACAUGGAUAACAGAGAUUUCUGGAUAUUAAUGGUAAGUAAAAGCAUAAGAUUCUUGGUUUCAACAUGUUUCCACCAUGCUAGUGUUUUGACUACUGCCUUUUAAAUUUGACAUAAGAAAAGCCAUGAAGGCAUACAAUAUUGUCGUAUAUAUGCUACAAAUAUCAUAUAUACAUCCUCACAUGAGUACACAAUAAUUAUUAUGAAAAGUAAUGCACAAGUUUAGAAUGAGAAUAACCUUUGGAGAUAGUUUUCCAGAAGCAUUUCAAUUUCCUCCUCCUCCUCUACAAAUCAUGAGAAAAAACAAAUUAGCAACUAUGUUGUACUCCCUCCGUCUCAUAAAAAAUGUCUCUUUGCACUUUUUUCUGCCUCGAAAUAAAAGUCUCUUUACAAUAUCAAUACAAUAUUCAUAACUUUUUUCCGCUAUUAUACCCUUAUUUAUUAACUUUCACUCUAUUCAACUAUUCUACUAACUAUAAUUAAUAAGGGUAUUUUAAUAAAUUAUAUAUAAUUAAAAUUAACAUAUUUAUUCAUUUUCUUGAGAACAACGCAUAGUUCAAAUAAGACACUUAUUAUGAGACAUAGGGACUAAUUUGUAAAGUCAUCUGCAGAAUAAGAAGAUCUGUAUCGAUGUCUCCAUAUUUCACAGCUUACCAUCAGCAACCUGCUUUUCUAAGGGCACUGAGCAUUCCACAUUAUUGUUUCCUUUAUUAAGUGUACAGUUUCUUCCCAUAAUACACAUCCGUCGUAUUUCAUUUGGGUCCUCCAGAAGGUCAAGAAGCAUCUGUCGGAGAGCUCCUGCCCUCGAGCCUAACUCAACCUAGCAAUUUGGCAGAAAGCAAAUAAAAUUAGUUGUUUUCUCCCAGAACCACAGCAGAUUAGUGAGAAAAAAGUCAGAAGAAAUUACCAAAGUUUGUUUGCUAAUACGAAGUUGCUCCAAUAUGUCUCCAGUUAUCCGAUUUGGCAACGCCUCAAGAAGAGCUUGAACCUAGGGCCACGAGUAGGGGGAGACAAAAUGGCUAUCCGAAUCAGGUACAGGAUUCAGAGUCAGAAAAAAAGGUGAAAAUAUAUAAUCUUUUAUGAACCAAGAAGGCGAAUAUCAAUCUACUACAUCAAAUAUUUCAGCAAGUAAGGAAGUUUCUGCCACUAGAUAUGUGCUAUUGAAAGAGCCAGUUGAGUUCAGCUUUUCAUGAAAUAUUACUUUUAUUUUGGAAAAAGAAGACAGCUUCUAUGUCAAAGCUUUAAAAAACAAAUCACUUUUUACACAAUCUUUAAAUCAAACAAACAUGCUAAAUAAAAUGUUAGAAACCUUCGUGAAAUGUCAUUUAUAAUACUGUUAAGAUCUUAUACAAUGUCUGCAUGAAGAAGUGGCAGGAAAACAUCACACAGAAGUAGUGGCUAAAGCCCAUAGUUUUUUAAUCAGUUUUUGCUCCCAUGCAGGUAGGGGUGGAAAAAUGGGUCCGUUCUUCCGGGCAUGCCCGUUUUGCCCGCAUUUUUUGGCAGGGUAGGUCAAGGUUUUAGUCUCACACCUAAAUCAUGUCUGCCCCGCCCCGCCUCGCCUCAUAUUUUUACAGGCUUUUGUGGCCGCGGCCAUUAACACGAACUUUGCAACUUUUAGGCUUUAGGGAUGCAACGUCUGUCGAGUCCGCUCCACCCAUAUUUUUUAGUAGGGCGGACCAAAGUUUUAGACCAGCACCCUCUACCAUGUCCGUCCCGCCCCGUUUUUUUGCAGGCCUAAACGGAUGAAGGUUUAGAAACAACUGCUUGUCGAAGUCAUAGGAACAAAAAAAACAGACAAACUAACACAUGCGCAAAAACACACAUACCACAAAGAAACAACAUAAACAUACUCAGUUACUCACUGUGUUUCCAUACUCACACGAGGUUCUAAGUCCAUCAGUCUCCGCUCCAAACGUUGUAUUCUUGAAAGCAAUGCUGCUUCGACAACCUGAAAGUUCAACCAUGAUAACUAGGGGGAAGAGUGGAAGACAGUUCACAAUAGUAUGCCUACGAUGACAAAUGAGAACAACAUUACACCCAUGGUAACCCACUGGUCAUGAAUGUUAGUAUGUACUGUAAUAUUCAAAUACCAUUAGUUUCUUAAAGAGGGUAUUUGCCACAGGGAACAAGACUUAAACCCAGUUGCUUGGAAAUCUACUCCUCAAAAGUCAUGACCAGUUUAAGUUCCUAUAUACUUUCUCUUCCGGCACCUGACUUUUAAGGCCACGCUUUUGUUGGCUUUCUGCAUUGGAAUUGUUACCAUCUUUAGAUCCUUCUGCCUCAUCUUUUACCCUUAAGCACCAUUUUGUUUGAUAAAACAGUGUCAUUAUUUUUUUAUUUUUAGACAUUCACUAUAACCACCAAUUCUACCCUUUCCAAACCUUGGGCCACAAAUAUGUCCUUACGUAUACUUUACUAUUUCUCUUGUUUAUAGUCAUUCCUCAAAAUAAAAUUAGGAAUGACAGAAUUUUAUAUUAGUACUGCUAUUAUGUUGAUUCAUACCUGAGUGUAACUAUCAUAUUUCAAUUCUUGAAAAUAAACCAUAUGCAAAUCAGUUUUUCUUUUCUUUCUUUUAUCUUAUAGGACUGUAAAUCACUGUAUUCUCAUAAUGAUUCUGCUAUUCAGGUUUUUCAGACCUGAGUCUACCCAUGAAAAAUAACCAAAUUCAGUUUAGUUUUCCCUUUUCUUUCUUUUGUCUCGUAAGAAUAUAUGAAUCUUAAUUUGACACUGCUAUUAAGUUGACUCAGGUCUGAGACUAACUAUCAUAAUUCAGCCCUUGAAAAUAAACCAUAUUGAAAUCUUUCUUUUGUCAUGUAGUACUAAAAAUCACCAUGUUUUCCUAAUGAUGUAAUGUAGCAGAAAAUGAGUUAGGAAACAUAGCAUUAGUGCACAAGACUGUGCUUGGAGUGAAUAUAACUAUUCUAUUUUUCCUCCAAUUCAACAAUUAGCAUGUUAAAUGGAGAAGAAGCAAAUUCCAACAGACCUCAAUUUCAAAUGGCAUUGAUGGCCCUCCAUUGUUGUUCUUGGGGUUCAACCUAGGCAGCAAUGUGUCUAGAAAAGCUUGCCCACCUUUACUGGUAAAAAAAUCAAUAGAGAUAGACGUUCAGUUUUUAGUUUGGUGUUCCUUUAUCAAAGAAAUAGCGACAAUAAUGCAUCCUAUAAUAUAUGAAUUAUUUAAGAUUAAAACAAUACCGAUUAUAGUCAAAUAUAAGCACACAAUCUUGCAUUGCUAUUGCUCGUAGCGAACCCAGGUUUAGAAGUAUAGCAUACUCACGGACCUAAUACAAAACAAUGAGAUUUAAUUGUUAGGGACAGAACUUGAUAUUGAUGUUGUGUAUUCCCCUAUGCCACAUAUGGUGUAAACUUUUUGAAACAAAACGAAUGAGCAUGUGUGUGGAGUAGAUUAACUUUUAUGAGUGUGUAUCUAUUGAUUAACUUUUUAUUAGCAACAAAAGCAUAAGAUAGGAUGUAGUUCAAUAACAAACAUAUGUUAAGUAAAGUUACCCAUACUUUAUAAUAAUAAUACUACAAAGAGCACUCCAUGGACAUCUUCACGAAACUUAAGUGAGUAUUUACAAGUACCACAAGGUAUUAAGUAAUGAUAGAGGAGGAAAAUGUUAUACCAGCAAAGAAGGCAUUGAAUUUGUCAAAAACAGUGAUGGAUCCACACUUCUGACAUCCCGGGGACGAAGGCCUGAAUAAAUAAACGUUCACCAUAAAAAAAAAAAUAAAAAAAAAAACUACUUGGCUAGUUUGAACUUGAACCUAUUUUAAGUGAAAGAAGCAUAGCAUGAUUACAUGAAUGAAUAAUGGAACAAGAUAAAAUACUAGCUCAAUUAUUAUCAAUUGAUUUAACUCACCACUCGACUUCAAUAAUUGUCUCCUGUUGAUUUUUCUAGUCGAUACUGCCCCGUCUGAUUUCACUUCUACAACCUUCACAAAUACAGAAAUAGAGAGAAAACAGAGUAAGAAAAGCAAAAUUAGUAACACUAGAGAAGCUGCAGCAAAAUUUAAGAAAGCUUCCUAGGGUUUUAGUUCAUUGAAUUAGUAAUAAAAAAUUGCCUAAAAUCCACAACAUAAUUUCUAAACUAAGAAUAAUCAUUAAAGAUAGAUCGAGAGAGAAAAAGGAGGUGAACAGAACGAACUUCAUAAACAGGUUCUCGAAUUCCGAGAGAAGGAGAAUCGCCGGAAGAGGUAGUUGCAAUCCUCUGAGGCUCAAUAGAAGGAGUUUGCCUCAGAGCCGGAGCAUUCGAAUCAUCCAAAUCUUCAUCGGCGUCAGAUGCGACGGAUUCCGCCUCGCUCCACUGCUUCUCCUCCGUGGAUCUACUGCAUUUCACCGGCUUCAGAGCCGACGGUGACGUAACAGAGAUCUUUCUCCGGCGAAGAAGAGUGAGAGAAUCAUGACUCCGUGUUUCAAGAGAACGGAAUUCGGUAAGGUCGGAGAAGAUGACGUAGUUGGUGCGCGAGAGUAAAGGUUGAAAACGAAGGUGCGUCGAAGUUGAAGUUAAAGUUAAAGCCAUGUUAAUUUAGUUCAGAAGAGACUACGGCGACGGUUACGGUGGUUAUGCAUGCCGGUAACAGAAUGAGGUAGUUGGAGCUGUGUUUCACUCUGCGUAACGAUUAAAACGAAACAGAUUAAUAGUUUAUUCGAAUUUGGAUAUUUUAUUGUUAUUUGAUGAUUUUUAUUUACUACUAUACUCCUAAAUCCUAAUAAUUUAAUGUUUUUUUUAAAUUUUACAUUACAGUAUCUUUGUUCGGGUGAAGUUGAUGGGACCGGUGAGAGGAUAGGAUAAUAAGCAGAAAAAGGCAAAAAGUGGAAGAUUUAUGUAUAUUUUUCUAUUGGGCAAUAUUAUAUGUGGCUGAUAUUUGGCUACAAAUUAAAAUUACAGGUGAGGAUGUGACUCAAAUCGUAACAUAUCUCGUGCAAGAACACGGGAAGGGAAGUGAGUCCUCUUCUGGUUUUAACACCGGUAACUAGUCCGUCCGUACGAACUUGCGUCAUGCCGCUCUUAAUUUAGUUUUAAAUGUUGUGAUUAAAAGAUGUUAGAAAAGGGAUCAAGGGUGGUGUACCUAGGCAUAAGAUACGAGUUUGGCAAGAUACGAGUUUGAAACGCAUAUUUGUUUAUAAACUAUUAUAAAAAUUAAAAGUUGAAUAAAAGAAUAAAUUUAAAAAUAAUAGUAAAUUUAAAUUAAAAUAUUAAUAAAAGUAUAAUAUGAAAUGUAAACAGUAAUAUUAUGAAUAAUAUGAUAAAAAAAAUAAUGAAACUUGUAUGCGAUAAAUCAAUUUAUUUUAAUUUUUUUUAUAAAUAAGAUAAUGAUUUUAUAAAAGUGAAAACAAUUUUAAAAUAUACACUCAAUCUUUUUAAAUAAUUUCUCUUAAUCUUGUUUAUAUAUUUAAAAAAUAUGGUCCAUAAAUUUCUAUUAUUCAAUAUUUGUAUCAGUAAAGUUGUUUUCGAUUAUGAUAGUAGUAUUUUUUUUCGUAUAUACAAUAUUUUAAUCAAUAAUGUAUUUUUUUCCAUAUAUAAAUAUUAUUUUUGUUUUGAUAUUAUUUAUAAAAAUAUUUUAAUCAAUAGUAAUGUUAUUUCCGUAUAUAAAUAUAUUCGAAUCAAUAAUGUAUUUUAUUAUUAUUAUUUUGAAAAUAUUUAUAAAAUCAUUUAAAUCAAUAAUAAAAUUGUUCAUGUUUAUAGCAAAAAUAAAUUAUUUGUAUAAAUUUAUUUCCCAUAUAAAUUUAUUUGUAUGGUACACAUAGAUAAAGAUGAUUGAGUAGAUAUUGAUUCAUCUGAAAAUAUCUUACAAUAAUUUUAAUCUUUACAAUAUAUAAUACAAUAAAUAAUUUAUGUAUUACCCAUCAGUUAUAAUUAUUUAUUCUAUAAUAGAUCAAUUGUACUUUUUUUGUCACUAGACAAUUUUAUUUAUAUAUUAAACAUGAAUAUUUAUUAUAUUUCUUAUUAGAUCGAUCUAUAUGAAUAUUUGUUUGAUAUAUAUUUUUUAGUAAGCAUUGAAUUUUAAAAUUCCCUUUAAAGUUUCAAGUUAUAAUAUUUGACUCAAAGUGAAUUUGUCGUUAUUUAAUUUUCUUUAUUUUGUCAAACUCAUAUUUAUUUAUCAUGCAUAAUAAAAUAUAUUGAAUCCAAAGUUAUGAAAAUGAAUCUUAAAAUUCAAAAAUAAAAAAUAUUCAAUGUUUCAUUAAAUAAAUCAUUCAUUUUAAUUUUCUUUUAUAAAUAAGUCAAUUAUUUUUUUUACACAAUAAGUCAAUAAUUUUAGAAUAGAGAUAAUAUAAUAUUAGAAUAUGCACUCUCUUCCUGGUUCAUUCACACAAAAUUUAAAAAGUUAUACAAUUUUUCUUAAACAUAAUUGAAUUUAUUUUAAUUUCAAUUAAAAUAAUUCUACCAGAGUUCCACUUCAUAUUUUUUGACUUACUAAAUUGUGAAAUAAAAAAAUAAAUUUAAUAAUUUCAAGUUUAUUUCAAAUAAAUUAAGACAAAUGCUAUAUCUUCUUUAUUAAUAAAUAAUAAAUUCAUAAAUCAUAUAACAAUUCUAAAUUAUAAUUUUAAUUUGACAAAUAUUUAUUAACAUAAGCAAUACAUCAAAGAGUGAGAAAUAUGCAACAAAAUCAAUAAAUAAAAUAAUUUCAACAUUAAUCAAUGUAUCAAAUGAAAGGUUAGACCUACUAUAAAAAUAGAAAAGAUAAGUUACAAUAAAUUAUUUUAUUAGUGUAGUUCAAUGUGAAAUUACUUUAUUAGGUCUGCUGCAAAAAUAAAAUAUUAAAAUGUAUUAAUUGAUUGACAUUAGGAUGGAAAAAAUUCUAUUAUGAUUGACCCAAUCAUUAAUCAAGCGUAACAAAAAAUGACAUGAAGAUGAAGCUACUCUACCAUCUAGUCUCUCAUCAUUAUUAUAAUACAACUUAAAACAAAAACUUAUAUCAAAUCAUUGCAAAUGUAUUCUUGUUAAUUAAUAAUAGAUACAAAAACAUGUAUAAAUACCACAAAUUUAAUAUGUGAAUUUUUUUAUUGAAUACUAAAAAUAAGUCAAAGUAAAUUAUAAACCAUAUUAUUAUAUAUUUAUAUUAAAGAAAGGAUUUAGUAAAACAUAAAUCUUUUUUCAUGACCUUUUAUAUAUGAACAUUAACUCUAAAAAAAUCAUUUAUUUUAUUUUAAAAGCAAUUUUUUUAUAUAUUUUUUUCCUUUUAAAAGCAAUAAUUUUAAAUUUUAUUUAAUACAAAUUAUUAAUCAUAAAAUCAUUUAAUUAAUCUAUUUUCUCACAAAUAUUAUUAACCUUAAAAUCAUUUGCUAUCCAAAUCAUUAUAAUAACUAUUAUGAAAGUGAAUGCUAAGAAAUUGAAGGGUAAUGAAAUUGAUCAAAUUAAUUGAUAUUUAUUAAUUACUAUAAAAUAAAUAAAUAAAAAUAUUCAAAUUUCUAUUUGUAGGCACGUUAUAAAAACCAUUUUUUAUUGAAUAUUAAAAGUAAUUAAGGUGAUGAUAAAAUAAAUUAUAAACCAUAUUAUUAGAUUUUUAUAGUAAAGAAGAAGUUUAGUAAAACAUAUAAAUCUAUUUUUUCAUGACCUUUUAUGCAUAAAACUAACUUUAAAAAAAUCAUUAAUUUCAUUUUAAAAGUAAAAUUUUUCUUAUAUAUUAUUUUAUUUUUAAAAGCAGGAAUUUUGAAAAUUAUUUAUUAAAAAUUAUUAGAUAUAAAAUUAUUUGCUUAAAUCAGAAUGUUGAUUAAGUCUAUUCUCUUAUAAAAAAAAUUAUUAACCUUAAAAUAAUUUACUACCAAAAUCAUUAAAAUGACUAUUAUAUUAAUUAAUAUUUAUUAGCUACCAUAAAAUAAUAGAAAAUAUUCAAAUUUUUAUUUAUCUGCAUGUUACAAAAACAUACCACUUUAAGUAUUAAAACAGAUAUUUUAAUUAUUAUUUCUAUAGUUUAAUAUUAAAACAAAUCUUUUAAAUUUUAAGCAUACAAAAAAAAAAAAGCCAAAAUGCAUAUUAAUACAUUUGCCACAUUUCUUAUCAUUCCUUUCUUAUAUAUAUUAUAUAUAUAUAUAUAUUAAUAUAUAUAUAUAUAUAUAUAUAUAUAUAAAAGAUUAAUUACUAUACACUGUCAGUGUAAAAAAUUUUACACCGUCGAUUCGUCACCAUCAUUCGUUUGUAUUACUUUAUAGAUUUUUAAAAUAAAAGUUAAAUUUCUUUUAAUAUCUGACGUCUAUGUGUAAAUUUUUUUUACACUAUCGAUGUAUUUCAAUUAAACUCUCUCUCUCAUACCAUUUUUUUAUAUUUUUCAUAUUUUAAAUUCUCUCUCACAUCGCAUCAUGAUGUGGAUAAUAGUAACACAAUGUUUUAAAUAUUAUUAACUUUUAUUGGUUAUUCAGAAGCUCAAGUUACAGUUUCACUUUUUAAAGAACAAAAAAAUAGUGAGCAUUUAUUAUUAUAAUAAAUAAAUAUAAAUGAAAACUUGUCAUAGAUGUAUAGGCAUUAGAUAAGUAUCAUGAUUUAGAAAAUAGACUUUGAAGAUCGAUAAGUUGUCUCUCACUUAAAAUUAAAUAUUCAUAAUAUUGUAUUAAUUUAUUUGAUACUAUUUCAAAGUAGUAUUAAUUGCAAUUUUGUCAAAAUUACCCCUAGAUAAUGAUUGCAGAGAGAGAAAAAGUAAAGUGAAUGUAAUAAAUAAUUAAGGGUAUUAUAGGUAAAAGAAGAAUUAUUGUUUAACAGUAAUGAUUAGCUUCCUUGGUAUGUGUAAAAAGUCAAAAUAUGACACUUAAAAAGGAACGGAGGGAGUAGUAUAUAGUAUAGGGACUAUAAAUGUCAUUGGAAAAAUACAAAUUUUUAAAUCAAACAGCUUCAUAUAGAGAAUCUUCAUCCACUUUCAAAUGUUCAUGUGUAGGGUAUAUAUCCUCAAUAGUAGCAUCUCCAUCCACUUUCAACUGUGCGUGUGUAUGACAAUAAUGCAGUAACUUAGAAUCAUGUGACAGAAUAAAAAUAUAUAGAAAUAUGAGAUUUUGGCAGAACUGGAAACUUUAAACCAAGAUUAGAUGAAAAAAAUAUGAAUAUACUAAUAGUAUGUUAAGAUUCAGACAUUUCUAUCUCACCUUCCUUGGAACAUAAGACAGUUAUAACUGAGCUAGUAAUCCGAACCAGUACAUAUUUGAGUUAAUUUCAGCUUCAUGUCUCAUAAGAAGGGGAAAAAUAAACAAAUAUAAAAAGAACCAAAAACUACAAUAAAGAAAAUAAACAAAUAUAAAAAGAAGAAGAAAAAUGUACAAGGUAAAAAACAGACAACCACAACAAGUCAACUCCCAAAAACCACCUUGUAAGAACAACACCAUAAGAAAGGAUCAAGCUAGAGUUUAAGCCAACUAAACCACCAACACCUGAUCAAAAACCACUAGAAGAAGGAGGAAAGAAACACCAUACUUUCAACCUGGCCAUAAUCUCAAUCUGUUAUUGAUGAAUCCAAUGUUGGGGGAGGUUUUACUAUGGAACAUUGAAUGUUGUGAAACUUAUUCUUUUAGAGCAACACCUUUAUGAGAGACACACCACAUAUUCAUCCAAAACCUUAAGGUGAUAGGUGAGUGGAUUCUCUCACUUAUAAAUGUUCAAGUUUCCACAUUACCAACCAAUGUGAGACUAUUAUCCAUAUUACUCGCACUUGAUACAUUCUCAACACUCCCCCUAAAGUGUGAGUCCACAAUGCUCCCCCUCAAGUGAAAGCUCUUCUUACUUCCACAAAUCCUUGUACCGUACAAAAUGUUUCUUAUUCACCACACUGGCAUCGUUGACACUCUUCGACGGAAUGUUUCUUAUUCACCACACCGGCGAGCCGUUGACUUUCGAUACAACUAAGUUGGUCAUUUUCUAAAACCAAAGGCUCAUGAUACCAUUUGUUGAGAGAGUUUUUCAAUAGGGAGCAUUAAACAUUGUGAGACUUCUUCUUUUAGAGUCACACCUUUAUGAGAGACACACCACAUAUUCAUCCAAAAUCUUAAGGUGAUAGGUGAGUGGAUUCUCUCACUUAUAAAUGCUCAAGUCUCCACAUUACCAACCAAUGUGAGACUAUUAUCCACACUACUCACACUUGAUACAUUCUCAACAUCCAAAUGAUAAGGUUUUGAAGUCAUCCUAUGAAUGUGCAAUAGUUCUCUAUUGAUCUACCUAGAAACCACUUUCAAGUAAAAAAAAUAUUUCUCUCCUUCAUAUCUUUCACGUUUAUUGAAUAAUUAUAAAAAAAAAACUCAUUUCGGGCUCUCCAAAUGAUCAAGAUCACAACAUUUCCAAAUCAUGAAAAAAAAAACAUAAACUUCGCCAUACCACCUAAAGAAAAUAAACUCUCAAGAGAAGACUAAGAUUUAAUGGAAUAACUGUUUGUCACCUUAACCAUUUGAACAUCAUAUACUAGACACUACUAGGUUAGUCACAAGUGACAAAUAAGUGAGAAGUUGGUUUGAUUGAAACACCACAAAUACGGCAUAUGGUAAGACCAAAGUCCAUGAUCACCUUUCUAUUAAAUAAAUUCUCUCUAUAUGAGAACCUAUCAAAGAUAAGUUUUCAGGAGAAAAUAAUCACAUUAGAAGGUGCCCAACUAUCCCAAAUGUGAGGAGAUACAUAUUGAAAGUGGAGGAAGAAUGUCUAUAAAAAGUGGAAGAAGCCAAAAGAGACUGAUAAGCAGUGGACAUCGAGAAAAUACCAUCCCUUGCAAGCUUCCAAAUCAACUUAUUUUUUUCCAAAGAUAAAAUAUGCCCUCUAAUGACAUAUAGGAAUUCAACAACAAGAGGUUCCUUACAGAAAAAAAAGGCUUCUUCCACUAAAAGUCCCAAAUGAGGUUCUCAUAUACUCACAUACCUACCUUUCCUACCCCUUCAAGAUAAUCAAUGACCGUAAACAACCUGGGAAACCUAUCCUUAAGAUGUAUGCUCCCAAUUUAAGGGUCAAUCCAAAAAUAUGUUAGAAAACCUAAGUCGAUCUUCCUAGUGAUACCACCCACAAACCAAUUAGAAAGGUUUUCCUACUUAGAGUCAAUAAGGGAAACUGAUUUCCACCAAGAGGAGGAUUUUCGAAAACCUGAAUCUCUACCACUCCUUAAAGAAUAAGCAAUAGAUGUAACAUAACAGGAAAGAAAUACAUCUUUCCAAAGACCAGAAGCACACGAGAUAAUACACCGCAUCCACUUAGCCAAAACAGUUAAGUUAACUAAAUGAAAAUCUCUAACCCCCAAGCCACAUUUACUCAUAGGCUUACAAACAUUAUCCUAACUAACUCAAUAAAUUUUAGGUUCUCCCUUAAUGUCUCCCCACAUAAAACUUCUUUGAACCUGAACUAUUUUCCUCAAAGCCUUUACAGGCAUCUUUAGAAAAGAUAGGAGGAAAAUAUGGAUAACAUUAAGCACAAAAUUAAACCAAACCACUUGCCUCAAGCUAACAUACUCGUGCUUCUAAGAAAGGUGAUUAGCGAGGGGGUCUCAAUUAACUUUUCAGAUAUGAAUAACCCCAACAGGUAGCCUUAUAUAUUUAAAAAGAAAUGUCUCAAUUUUACAAUGAAGAAAGUCACCAGUAGGAUCCAAAAAGAGUCUACUCUUAAAGAAAUUCAUUCGGAUGUCAAAUGCUAGCUUAAACCCCCUAAAAAUAAUCUUAAUAGUCCAAAAAAUUUCAUUUAUUGGAUCUGCUAAGAUAAGAGUAUUAUCACUAUUUAAAUAUAAAUUUCAAUAAUAAAGUUUAUACAAAAUUAGAAGGCAAACAAACAACAUGUUAAAACCAGUGAGAAGAUCCAACUCAAUGACCCUAAUAUUCAAACCACUUAAUCCUUCGACUACAAAAAGGAAAAGGAGGAGAGCUACGAGGGUUUUGCUUCAGACUAUUUUGAAUGUUAAUCUCUUGAAUUGGACAAUCAUUUAUCAACACCACGAUAUUCCCAGCAAAAACACAAGCUAUAGUCCAAAACCUCCACUUAUCAUUAAAGUCAAAUCUAAUCAAUAUAUAAUCCAAAAACUCUCGACUCAUAGAGUCAUAAGCUUUCUCAAAAUCCACUUUAUAAAUGAGAUAGGACUUUUUUACUUUCUUAGACUAGCCAUUCACUUAAUUCACCAAUAUUCUACUUUUUAGAAAGACAUAUUGGUAAUGGGGAAACAAGUUUUUUUCCAUGAUCUCCUCUAAUUUAGAAACUAACACUUAUAAAGCACUAACCAAAGAAUUAGGCAUAAAAUCGCUUAAGUGAACAUAAAAGAUUUAUUCUUGGAAAUUAAGGUGACAAAGUAAAAAACAAAGAAGUGAGGUAACAAUGCAAAAAUUAGUGAAACAUAACCCCAACAUCGUCCCUAAAGAGAAACCAAAACCUCAUUAUAGUGUUAUUGUAUACUCAUAGACUUUGUUACAAAUAUAAUUGAAGAACAACAUUGCAAGACUUCAUACUAUAGAAAUAACAUUAUCAAUAAAAAAAUAUAUCUUGAUAAAAGUAUAAUAAAUUCAGCUGUGCUUGAAGAUGACGUGAGAAAUGAGAAAAUUGAAGACAUUAAAAAAAGAUGGAGGGUAGGAAGAAUGUUAUGUAAGUUGAAAAUAAAUGAGUAAUCUUACAAAUGGAUGUCUUAAAAUCAUUCAAAUGUUAUUUAAAAUGUACAACUUAAAAUCUAAUUACAUUUUAUAUACAAAGUUAUAUUUUGAUAUAUAAAAGUUGUUGAAUAAUUUAGAAGUUUUUUGUGCCAAAAUAGAGAACAUUUUUGUAAUUAUUUAUUUAUUUGUUUAUUUAUUAUAAUUUAUUUUACUCUUUUUUAUUUAUUUAUUAAAUUAUUCUUUCUUUCAUGAUUAUCCCACUAACUAAUAAUUUUACAUAUAAAAAUAAUUCUAUAUUUUAAGUAACCACUACUAGCCACUUCUUUUUUAAUUUUUAGUUAACAUUUUAAAUUAUAAUAAUAUCUUAUAUAUAAUUUUUUUUAAAGUCACUUAGCAAUUUUUGACACCAAAAUGGAAGAUAUAUUUGUAAUUAUUUAUUUAUUAUAAUUUAUUCUACUAUUUUUUAUUUAUUGAAUUAUUCUUUCUUUCAUAAUUAUCCCACUAACUAUUACCCCCACUAAUUUUAUUAACUUCUUCCACAACCUAUUUAUAGCAACUUCUAUUUUUUAAAGUUAUUUUCUCUUUUCACUUUUCCAUAUUAAUUCUUUUCAUACAAGAGCCCUCAAUUUAAAGUUCUUCUAAAUUUAUUAAUAUUUGUUAUUUUUUUUUUGCAGGUAUCAAAUUUUAAAGUAUUAGUAUGAAAUGUGAAAGAUGGAGGGUUAGAAGAUGAAUGUAUUAGUGGAGUUUAUGUUAAUUCAUUGAUGUGUGUCCAAUUGCUCUUCUUUUUAAUGUAUUAGCAUUUGUAUAAUGAUAGACGUUUUAUCGAGUAUUUAGUUAUGCACAUAAACUAUCUCUAUCUCUACCUUUCAUAUCAAGAUUUUAAUGCCACAUAUUUAUUUUGACAUGUUCUAAAAGUAUUUGGCCAUAGCAAUAUUAGUGUCUCAUGAUAUUUUGUUUUGUAGAAAAUGAAACGAAGAAUGAAUAUUAUAUUACGAGAAAUUUAAAUUCAUCAUUCAUCAUAACAUUAGAUAUGAAAUACUAAUACAUCUUAAAAGGAUGCAGCAUGGUGCAUUUACAACAUGGUUAUGUAUAUUGAACUUUAGAACGAGUGUCUAGAAUGUUUGUAGGUAUAAGCAUGUUAAGGAUGAAGAAAAAAGUAAAAUAUUAUUGAAUUAUGUUGUUUAAUUUUUUUUAUUUUAUUAAUUUAUUAAAUUAUUAUAUAUUUUUUAAAAAUAUUUGUUUUUAUUUUUCUAAUUAUAUAUUAUUUUUAGAUAUUUAUUAAUUAUAAUUUAUCUACUUUAUUAGUUCAUUCUAUUAUUAUUUAUUUUUUAUUAUUAUUUGUUUCUAUUUCUUACUUAUAUUUUCUUUUUAUUUAUUCAUUUCUCUUUUUCUUUGAAGUAUUAGCAUGCCAUAAUAGAAUAAAGAAUUGCAUAUGAAAGUAAGAUAUUAUUCAAUUAUAUGUUUUAAAUUUUCUGUUUUAUCAAUUUAUUAUAUAAUUUUAUUAGUUUUCUCACAUCUAACCACUACCACUAUUAACUCAAUCAUAUCAUUCUCUUUGUGAUUUAUUAUUAUUAUUAUUAUUAUUAUUAUUAUUAUUAUAAUUAUUAUAAUUCUCUUAAUUCUCCAUUAAUUAUAUUUUAAUUAAUUAAUUAAAUAUUUUUCUCUAUCAUUAAUUAGUUAAUUAUUCUAAAAAUAUUCCUGUUCAUUUUUAUUUUCUUAUUUCUACUAAACAAUACCACCACUAACUCAAUUAUACAAUCUCCACCAUAAUAAAUGCUUUUGUAAUUAUUAUUAAUAUUAAAAUUAUUUUUAAAUAUAUUCUUAAUUUAUUUUUUCUUCUCCUCACUAACCACUUUCACCCUUAACUCAAUUAAAUCCAUCAAUAAUAAUAAUAAUAAUAAUAAUUAUUAUUAUUUUUAUUGAUUCCAAUAAUUAUUACUUAUAAUAAUUGAUAAAUAACUAACUCACUAACUCGGUUAAUUCUCUUUAUAUAUAUAUAUAUAUAUAUAUAUAUAUAUAUAUAUAUAUGUUACAUUAACAUAUAUAAAAUAUUUCACCAAUUAUUAUUAUUUUUAUUACUAUUAAUUUUAUUAAUCAUUUUUAUUUGUAGUAACUUAACAAAUAACUAAUCCACUAACUCCAUUAUCUCCAUUACAUAAAUAUAUCAAUACCCAUAAAAAAAAGUCUCUAUUAAAAUAUCAAAACACGUGGUUUUAUUAUUAUUAUUAUUAACCUCUUUUGUCAUAUAAAAGUCUAUACCAAAAAUAAAAAAUAAACAAAAUAUUUGAUUUCCUUAUUAUUAAUUAAUAACAAAAAAAUUAUUUAUCAUGCCUUACCUUUUGACUUUUUAAAUUAAUUUUUAGUUAUGCUUUUUUUAGACACAGGUUUAGAAAAUACACAAAAUACAUUUUUUAGUAUAAAUAUUAUUCACUUUAUAUUUUUUUUCACUCUUAAUUUUUUUUAUAGGUGUAUAAUCACAAAAAUAUUUUAAAUAAAGAUAUUGUCCAUCUUAUAUCUUUUUCUGCUAUGUAUGAAUUUGAUAGUAAAAUUAUAUUAAAUUUAUUAUUAUUGUGUUUUACUUUGUUUUCUGAUUCUUAUUUUAUUUUUUUCAUAAUUUUUUUGUUGAGAUUAAUUUUUUUAUAUUUAUUUUGUAGGUAUAUAUUUUGAAAUUUCAAAAAAAAUAUUUUUUCUAAAAGUAUUAUUAAAAAAGUUAAGUGUGGAAGAUGGUGUGCUAAAAGANAUAUAUAUAUAUAUAUAUAUAUAUAUAUAUAUAUAUAUAUAUAUUAUUCUUACUUUCGAUAUUUUUAUUUACGUUUCAUAUCAAAAAUUUAUCUAUUUGUUAUUAGAUAAAUAUAUUAUAUGUAAUUAACAUAUAAACUAUUAAAUUCAACUUUUUUAUUACAAAUAUUUUUCUAGUCAAAAUGAUAAUAAUCCAUAUAAAUUCUACAAAUAUAAUUGAUAUAUUUAUUAUAAAUAUAAAAAUAUUAAUAUAUAGUUAAAGAUGUAAAUUAUUAUAUUAUUUUAAAUUUUUUAUUAUAAAAAUUUCAAAUACACGACGAUAAUAAUUUAUAGUGAGCUCUUUCAAGUUUACUAUUUAUAUUUUAACAUUGUUAUUUUUUAUAUUUUAAGCUCACAUUUAUACAUAUUAUGUUUUUAUAAUAUUUCACAUUUAUUCCUAAUUUUUCAAUACUAAAUAUUUAUAAAAAUAUGUUCUAAAUUAUUGAAUAAAAUUACAAUAAUUAUAAAAAAAAUAUUAAAUUUAUUCGUCUACUUAUUUAUGUUUUCUAAUCUACGAAAUGGUGAUAACUAUUUAAAAACUUAUACACACAAUAACGAGAGUUAGAGUUCAUUCUUAGCGUUAAUGUUUAAGUUAACAAAACUUGGAUUUAUUAAAAAGUUUAUUUUUAUUUUUGGUUGCAAUUCAAAUCUUGAAUUGAAAAUACCAAAAUAGUAGAAUACGAGCCGGGUGUUUUUGGAAGAGGCGCGGGGGAAAAGAAACCCUCAAAUUCAAGCAACUUCUCUCACUCUCAUCUCUGUAGCUUGAAAUUGGAGUGAACAACCACAAGCCAAAAUAAACCCAUGGCGGUUCCGGGAAAUCCAGCCAUUGAAGAAGAUGCAGAAGAGCACGAACGAGAUGGUCCCACGCAUCAUCCUUCUGCUCCGGCACACGAGGUUAUCAUCACAACUUCACCUUAAUUACAAACUCUAUUUUAGUUUCACUUGCAUUCGGAUCCAUUUUCACUUUCAAAGAAGCUGUAACAAAUAAUCAUCCCUAGAAUUCGUAUUGAGCGAUUUUUUGAAUUAUUCCUGAUGCAGUUUUUUGAUUUAUCAACCACUGUUGAUCCUAGUUAUAUAAUCUCCUUGAUAAGGAAGCUUCUUCCUUUGGAUUCUGGUUCUCUUCAUGGAGUUGUUUCGAAAGGCCCUAGCCAAGGAUUGGUCACCGAUAAUGAUGAUAAAGAAGGGGAUGCACCGUCAUCUGCACCUAUUUGUAACGACGAUCGCGUUGGAUUAUCCAAGAAUAAACAUGAAAAUAUGGAUGUUGAUGAUGAAUCCUGUGAAUCUUCUCAUGCGCUGGGAGAAUAUCAGGAUAAGAGUGACGGAUUUGAACGUUCUGGCGACUCGGUUCGAGAGGACGAGUGGGAAGAAUACGGUUGUAUUUUGUGGGACUUAGCUGCCAGUAAAACACAUGCAGAACUCAUGGUACUACUCUAUUUUUGUUUAGUGUUCAUUUGAAUUCUCCUUUAUAUGUUCUUGGUGAAAAGUGUUAGAAUUGAUUGUAUCUUUAAAUAGAGGUUUUAGGAAAGUUAAUGAGUCAGUUAAUUUCGUGUUCAAAUUUCAGUUUGACUAGAAAUGAUAAAAAAAAAUCUAUUUGUGUUUGUUGAAGAAUUUGAUCUGAGAUUUACUAAAUUGCUUUUGGAGUGAAGAUAUGAAAACAAUAAACAUAAGUCAUUUUACUUGAAACUCAAUUUUUAAACAAAUUAAAAUUUACAAAACCAAUCAAAAUCAUGCAUUUUCAAAUGUUCACUGAAAUACAUCAUAUAUUAGUUUCAAUUCACAAAUGCUCUCGUCAGUGCUCUCUCUCCAUGUAAGAGCUCAUUCGAUGUGCUAUGCAGCCAUAAUCUGGUCCUCAGCAAACCAUUUUGGGCUGAAAAAUCUCACUCGUGUGAGAUUUUUGAGAUUAUGAUGAUUAAUGAUUGCUUGAAUGUAUUCUGGUGUGUGUUUUCCAACCAUGACCACUCUGCUCAUCAUCAGUUAAGCAUCCAUUCCUUUCAUCGGUAUAGAAACAUUAUGGAAACUUCAACUCACCUGAGGUCUAAACACAUUUCGGUCAUCAUUGUUUUAUGCCUUUCAACCUGUUUAAUGUAUAAACUAAAACAAGAUGAUUAUAUGGUUUAAUCCUGCAGGUGGAGAAUCUCAUACUUGAAGUUCUUUUAGCAAAUCUCAAUGAUUGCAAAUCCAUGCGAGUUAAUGUAAGUCAAUAUAUAAAUAUGUACCAUGAUCAGUGUGCAUUCUUUUAAUGGUCUGAAAAUAAAGCUAUGAUGAGGUGAUUAGAAGAUCAAAUGUUACUUCAUCACAUAUUUUUGUAUUUAUUACAUUCUGCAGGAGGUUAGCAUAGGAAUUAUUGGGAACCUUGCCUGCCACGAAGUUCUAAUGAAGUGUAUAGUCUCCACUAAAGGACUGAUUGAGAUGAUUGUGGACAGAUUAUUUCUGGAUGAUCCUCAAUGCCUAUGUGAAACAUCUAGGUAUAAUGCUUCUCUGACACAUGUAGAUGUAGUUAUUCUCACUUUCAUUUUCGUCAGGGACCAAGUUACCUGAUUGGUUACUAUUUCCAUAUUGUUAUCCCUGUUUUUUAAUUUUAUUUUUUAUCUUCUGCUUCCUUAAGCAUUAUUAAUUUAUUACUGUGAGAAAGAAACACUUGCUAGUAUCAAAUGUUAUGUCUGUUUUUAUUUUUUAAAGAAAAUAUAUGUGCAUGUUCCAUGCUGAUAUAAUUAUGCCUUUUCUAUUCCGUCUAUUUCCUCUUGAGCUUUUUUUCUUCACGGAUUUGCCUGUUCGCGAGGUUACUGAGUACUUAUGCUGAACUUGUUCAUCUUUCUCCUAAUCCUGACGAAAGACUUUGGAAUCUUUUAUCCUGUAAAUCUUGUCAUUUGUUCCUUACCCAUUCUCCUAAUAGAGUCUCUAAAGCUUCGCCUAUGGUCAAAUAUCAUGUUUGGAUUGUUGUUUAUACAUAAUUCUCAGUAACAUUAAUGGCAUGUAGCAGCAUAGAAUCUCAUUGCUUUCUCUCCCAAAAAUGUCUAUAUAAUUCUAGUUUACCAACUACGGAUCAUUUCGUUUUGAAUUGUUUCAUAGCCGCUUUUUCCUAGAGUACGAUGUGUAGGGUUUUUGGUGACCAGUAGAUUUGUCCUAGGGACUUGCGUAAAUUUCUUCUGUUGAUUUCAGAGGUUUUGGUUCACAUCAAUGCUAAUAUUGUGGCAAAAGUCUUGUCUCUGCAAGUCUUUGUUGUAUAUGUCUGGAGAGGAAAUUCUAGAACUUUAAAGGGCUCUUGUUCUCCUCUGGACUUAUUUUGCACAUGGUUAUUAUUUUAGCCACCAUUUGGUAUUCUACUAAUGGCCUUUUUAUUACCGGUUCUUUCUGAGCCAUUUAGUGAUAUUGGCGUGCUUUGCUACAUGAUUCAAUACCUAGGCUCUAGUUUUAUUGUUUCAGUGUUAUUUUCUUGAGAAGCUGUGUCAUCUCAUCCACUUUCUUUGAACUAUUAUCUUCUUCCUUCAUAAAUUUCUUUCUGUAAAAGAACAUUCACACAGAUACACACCAUCCUGAAUAGAUAGGAAGAGGGGAUGAUGUUCUAUUAGUUUAUUUAUUUAUCUAUCCAUAAACUUUUAUUUGUGUUGUGCUGUAAUCUACAUGUCAUACUACUUUUUUUAAAAAAAGAUCAGAACUUUUAUGUUACAAACUUUUCUUGUGUUCUGAGAACAGAUUAUUGACUGUGGGCCUUCAAAGUGACGAAUCCAUUUCAUGGGCUGAGGCAUUGCAGUCCGAACAUGUAUUAUGUCAAAUAUUAUGGAUUGCAGAGAAUACUUUGAACCUUCAGCUUUUAGAAAAGGUAGUGAAUACUUUCUAAUUCCUUAUUCAUCAUAGUUUCAACUUUUUUGAUCUUUACAGAGGUGAUACUGAACUAGGUAUUCUUGCAUUGGACUUUGUGAAAAACAUGCUACUAAAUAUUGCACUAGAAACAUAAACAAUUUUGGAAGGAAAAGUAAUGUGAUAAUUUUUAUUACUUGUUUUGGCAUUCUUUCUGAAUCAGAGUGCAAGUUCCAUCUAAAUGAUCGAAUCAAUAGCUAAGAUUAUUUAUUCCCUAACAGGUUGCAGGACUUAUAUUAGCUAUAUUAGAAAGCCGGCAAAAAGUUGUGGAUGAUCUUCUUCCACCUAUGAUGAAGCUUGGUUUGGCAAAUAUAUUGAUCAAUCUCUUGACUUUUGAGAUAAGCAAACUAGCGAGUGACCGAAUACCUGAAAGGUACCAUGAUCCACAAUCUGCCAUUUCACAUAGAUGAAAUUAUGCAGUUCCUUUUAUUUUCUGAUGCCAAUUCUGACCCCAUCCAUGACAAUGUUUGUAACUAUUCAUCCAGCAGUCUGGUGGAAUAUUUGUUGUUGCAAAAGACAUUCUGGUGAAUUUGAUUUGAGAACCUAAUAAUAUCUUCAAAUUUCAGGUAUUCAAUUCUUGAUUUAAUUCUUCGUGCAAUUGAAAGCCUUUCUGUUAUAGAUGGUCAUUCUCAGGAAAUAUGUUCAAAUAAAGAGCUUUUUCACCUAGCAUGUAACUUGGUCAAGUUCACAGAUAAAGUCGAGGUACCGUAUUGUUGUAGUUAACACUUUCGUCAAGACGCAAUUUAGUUUACAUCAACUGUUGAGUUGAGAUGUUUUCAGAGGAGUUUCUUAAUCUGAAAAACUAUAUUCACAAAACACACACAAAUGUUAUAAUGACUUCUCCAAUAAGAGCAAUACAUUUUUUCCCUUCCAAGAUGCAUUACAAGCUUAUAUAAUUUUACAACAAGAAUUUUUUCCACCAAUUGCCAGAUUCUUUUACUUUUCUCUGCUUUGUUCUCUUGAGUAGCAUCAGUUGAAUUGUGUACUUGAUAUUUUUCACAUAUACUCCAAAUUUUCUAUUAGUCAUGAUUAGUUGUUGAUAGAUUUUUUGCUCGGUAAGACAAGAUGGGUUAGGGUUUUCAAAUAUUAUGGAUCCUUGGGGAAAAAGGGCGGCAAUGAUGUCACAUAAAAAACAACCUUAGAAUAUAUCUUACAAAUUUUAAUGAUGAUUAUUUUUUUAAAAAUAUAUCAGCGUUGCUGAGAAAAUAAGUUACUGCUCCUUGUACUUCAACCAGAAUGGUCUUCCUCCUUUGCUAUGGAAGAUUUUUAUUAAUACUUGAGGCUAAAUUCAAUUAAGGUAGACUUAGAAAGACUAUCAGAGAAGUUAUUAAGAAAAAUCUCGAGAUUAACGAUUUAGAUAGAACAUUAUGGCGGAAGUUGAUCCAUGUAGCAGAUCCCACUUAAUGGAAUAUGACUUGGUUGUUGUUGUUGUAAAUUCAGUUGAGAAGUGAACUCAAUGCGGCAACUUAAUCAGGCUGUCCAAGUUGAGACCAAGUAUCCAAUCAAAUGAUUUCUCAAAGAAUAAACACCUACUUUCUAAAUUGGUUUAGAAAAUGGUAUGAACUAGUAAUAUUGUUGAUAAAACUGAAAUAGUGUCAUCUUGUGACCUACAUGCUAUUAUGCCCCUUUCUAUUUACUAUGUGCUUCUCAUAGAUUGAUAAGAAAUGAAAAUGAUUUGUAUAACUGAAAAACAAUGGUGUAUUGGUCGUAUCUCUUGUAGGUUGGGAACUGUUGUGUUACUGCUGCAGUUCUUAUUGCAAAUAUUUUGUCUGAUGUUGAUCGCGUUUCCGAAAUAUCACAAGGUAAAACAUAUAUCUCUUUCACUCUCAUCCAUAAACUAUAAUGCUCUACUUAUUUGUUUGUUUGUUUUUGGUGUACCUGAAUUAGUUGUAUAAUGGUAAAUGACAUUGUGCCUUCUAGAUUGGUGCCUCUUAGGUGGUCUGCUUGAUAUAUUUCCUUUUGCUUCGGAUGAUUUGGAGGCAAGAAAUGCAAUCUGGAGCGUACUUGCUAGAAUAUUAGUCAGAAUACACGAAACUGAAAUGAACUCAUCAAGUUUAUGUCAUUUUGUUUUGGUUCUUGUCAGAAGAAUUGAUUUGAUUGAAGAUGAGCUUCUGAACCAACAAUGUGUUGACUACAGCCCUGGCUCAACAGCAGAUACUAGAAACACAUCUGUAUCCUUCUCAUUUAGUUCUUUCGGUUUAUCGUUUGCUGUUUUGAGGCCCCCUUUGAAUGACAGGAAUUGAAAAUUUUGAAGAAUCACAAUUCUUGGGAUGAGGUUUCAGUUUUUUAGAAAUAAGAUGUUGCAUUAGUUUGCAUGCUGUCGUGAUUAUAUAAUUAUAAAUCCAUGUUGAUUCCUCUUGCAGUAAUUUGCUUUGAACUGACUUUAUUUUUUCUUUUGUUAUGGAAAUUGCUUUUACAUAAACUUUUAUAUGCAUAAGCGUAUGUUUGGUAUGGCGUUUGGAAUGACAUUUUCCAUCUCGAGGCAUUUUUUGAUGUGAAAAUUUAGAAGCUAUACAUCAAAGCUUUUGUGUUAACCUUUUUGAUGCAAUUUUUUCUAACCCAAUGAUUUACCAAACAUGUACUUAAUUACUGUUUAUCCAAUCUGCUGCUACUAACCAUCCCAAUGCAGCUAAGUCUAACUAUAAAAGGCCAGCCGCGUGUAUUGAUAUUUAGGUUGACAUGCUUAUUUGUGUAGAUGUGUGUUUUUUUCUAUUAUUUGUUUCCCUUUACCUUUGGAAUAACAGCUCGUGAGAAUAAUCAGCAUUGUGAAUCAGUGGACUGCUGUAAGGGAGGAAGCUGAGAAUAAUGGGAAUGCUGAAACUUUUGUAAGCGAGACAGAUGUAAAAAAGUUGUUGGAUUGUUGUCACAAAUUCUCGAAGUAGAAUUACUCAUUAUAUUGUGAAUUACUGUUUUCCAAACAAUCUUUGAAGGUUUGACAAGUUUUGUUUAACUCACUCUUGAAACCUCAGUUAGCUAAGCCAUUGAGAGUUAAGAAAUCCCAAUAUAAAAAAAUUAUGAAGUUUAAUGGUUUGAAUGGUCAUGCUUUGUUUGACCUUGAAUAAAACAGGAAGUAUAAGUGUGUUCAAAAUACACAGCAAAGAAAUUAUGUGAUUUGUUCAAGCAGAUUUUUCAAAGUCUGAUUUGCAUCCUCCAUAUUAAAAGGUUGGUGAAAAAAUUGUUUUCCAAACACACUAUUAAUCACUAUUGCUACACAUGAAGUCCCCGUUUUUAAAAUUCUAAGUUUGUUACUUUUUGGUUUUCACUAUUAAUCACUGUUACUACACAUGGAAGUCAUAGUUUUUUAGUCUGUUUGUUAUUUUUUGGCAAAUCUAACAUGAACAACUUUGAACACUCAAACAGAAAAUUUACACAAAGCUCUCAAAAACUAUGGUCUUAUUACAACAAUGAAACACCUAGUGAGCUUUAUAAUUAAUCAUAUUCAAACUCCUUAUACAUAAGCCAAACUCAUUUAACAGCAGCAACCACACACACACACCACUUGAAAGCUAAAUAAUGAUAGUAAUCAUAAUAGACAGAGCUGAUAAUAACCCAAAACAUGUUGGAUUAG